UAGUAGAGAUGGUAAAAAAUUUGACACUACUUGUGACUCUUCUGUUAGCAGGUUGUGAAGAGGUUUCUCUAGUCUUAUUAAAGAGAUCGGUUAAUUGAUGCAAAUCCUCAAUAACACUCAUUAGCUUGCAUGAACCUCACCAAAUUUGGAUUGCAGGUCAAUGAAAUUUGAACCAGCACUUUUUCCCAUGUGAAGGUCAAUCCAAACUUGAUCCUGGCCUUAGCUCAACCAAGUAUGAAAAUUCAAUUCUAGGGCUUUGCUUGUUUAGAGCACUAAAUUGAACAAGAAAAAUAUGGAAACAAUUCAGGAAACUCCCACCUUUCUGGUUUCAGAAUUCACAUCAGAAGGCAACCGCAGCCAAGCUGAGUAGAGCAAGGACUCAUGGACGGUAACAUGAGGAGAGUGGAUAUCAUUCUGCUCACAGUAUCCAGAAAUUCGAGCAAAAGUCUCUUGCUUCUUUGGGUAGCCAGAAAUGGUGAUCUUACCCUCAAUAUAUCCACCAGUUUUCCGACCAGCCAGUACAUCCAUGAGAGUGGUUUUACCAGCACCGCUAACACCCAUCAGAGCUGUAAGAACACCAGGCCUGAAAGCACCACUCACCCCCUUCAGAAGCUCCAGUCUGUCUUCAAGGGCACCCUGACUUUUCAUUUCCUGCAAGUUCAUUUCAAAUUACUCAGUUCUCAUUUUUGGUUUUAUAGUACAUUAUGAAGAAACAUAUGUCGUCAUUUAAAUAAAUAUGACGUUACCUCUGGCAUGUCAACGGAGUAUCUAAUAUCAUCAAAGGUGAUAGAAUGUGGUUGGAAUGGAAGAACCAUUCCUUUCUUCUUAUUAUGUUUAGCCUCAGCAAUGGCUUCUACCAUUUCCUCUCCCCUCUCUGCAUUUCAAGUUUAAAUUCAAUGAGCCAUAUAAAACAUGUAGUUAAAUGACAAGAACUGAGUCGCACAAUGGCAUGCAUGCAUGCACCAUGUUUGAGUUUCAUCACCUGUGGUUGCAGUUUUGGCAUUGUCAGACUCUUCUGUUAUAACAGCUUGAUGAUUCUCAAAUGCUGCGCAAUUUGCAACAUGUUAGUACACUAAGCUCAUAUUUUUAGGAGUUUCAAUGCAGAGAAGGUAGAGACACCCACGAUUUAGGUAAUUGAGGCACAGAGUGUAAAAGAAGUUGAACACAAAUAUGAAUCCAAGCAGUGCCCCAGCUCCUAUCCAGUACCAGUGUGCGUCUGUGGAGAACCCACGAGACUUCAAUACUGUAACUCCAAGGGAUUCUGUUGAAUCGGUAACAUUCUGAAAAAGGGAAAUACAUACAAUCAUCAGUUACUGACACACAUAAAUAAACACAGAUAUUCACAUGGAACAUUCAAGAACUUACUUUGCUCCAACUCUUCCCAAGGAAUUCAUUUACCACUAUUGCAUUCUGUGCAUACAUCAGAGGGGAAGACCAGUAACCCCAAAUCCACCAUUUCUUGACAUUAUCUGCAGCAUUGACCAAAUAAAAAAGGAAACAAAAAUUCAUUAUUAGGGGUUAUGCGCAAGAAGGUUCUAUGCUUCCUAAAAGAAUAUUUCCUCAUCAUACCAUGUGACAGGAUAAAACCACCCGAUGCCAAGAGCAUAAGUAAAGCAAAUGCCCCAAAUGUGUUUGCAACAAUCAUGUUUCUACCAGCUGCUGCUAUAAAUCGAAAUAAUCCAGAUGCCAUCUGAUUAACAAGCAAGAGGAGAAGAUACUGUCUAAACAACCUGCAAUAAGGAGAUUUGUUUAUUCAGCAUUAAUCAUUUUGGAACAGAGAAAACAUGUAAAAGAAAUCUGGAUAAGUUUCUGCAACUUCAUAACUUUUUCACUUUUACCUUUCCACAUUUGGAUCAAAUCCAAUGACAUAGUAAGUGAUGAACACCCAAACAGCAACUUCAACAAAUGUGAUGGGGAUCUUGAGCACCCAUGAUGGAAGAGCAUAUGCCCAUGCAGGAUAGAAGAGUAGGUCUCUUUGCUUGUAAAAUACGGGAAGUUUUGCAAUUGCCAUGGCAAGUUCUGCCAUUCCAUUAAACAUGAUCAUGACAACAGUGAAGAACAAAGCACCGGUGUAAAUGCUUCCGUCAUCUGUUGAAUUUUUGUGCAUCUCAGUUCUUAGGAAGAGUGUCAUUGCAAUCACUGCCAUUACUGCAAGCUAAAAACAGAAAUAGAAAUAAUAAAAUUACGAUCACAUAUAGAAAAUUAAAAGCCAUUGUUACAAGUAACAAUAAUAAUAAUAAUAAUACUCACUUGGGUGAGCUUGAAAAUAUAGACAAAUGAGUUCCUCUUCAUCAGCAAGUACUCUCUUGACAUGUUGGCAUCCAACAGUACCUUCUUUCUAACACCAUACUUCUUUGUUGUCAAAGCAGCUGGGUGGCUUUUGGCCUUGUCAAAUGGUGAUGCCAGCUCAUCUGCUACUUUCCGUCCAAUGUGAAAUGACUGGAAUGCCUCAGCAAAUUCCUUGACCGUGACAAAACUGUAAGGCUCUUCUUUACGUGCCCAAUACUGGGCCUGAUCUUUCCUAGAUGUUACCUGCAAUGAAGUUUAAAGUUAUGUUCUAGCUCAAUUUUUUUUCUUAAAAAAAAUUUAAAAAAAAAAAGAGAGAUGAAGAUAGAAGAUGCCAAAAGCUACAAAGCUAGAUUUGCACUCACUUCUUGCAGAAAGUCUGCCACACCCUUCCUUGCAGGACAUUUGAAGCCCAUGGAUUCAAAAAAUUCAAGCACAUCUUCACGAGGACCCUGAUAAACAAUCUGACUAUCAGAGAGGAGAAUGAUGUCAUCAAAAAGAUUGUAAGUCUCAGGUGCUGGCUGGAGGAGAGAGAUGACAGCAGUCCCGUUGAGAAUGUGGAUGGUUUGCUUGAGAGAAUUGACAAUUUGAUAAGUUGUUGAGCUGUCCAAGCCAGUAGAGAUCUCAUCCAUGAACAGUGCCUUUGAUGGUCCUACCAGCAUCUCACCUAUCAUUCAUACAUUUCACAUAAUUGAAUUAAAUUAAAUUAAUGAACAAAAAAAAAUCUAAUUGAUUUGUUUUUUCAUUUAGUUGGAAACCAAAUUAUCCUGCCUGUUGUGACACGCUUCCUUUGUCCUCCAGAGAUACCCCUUAUCAUCUCAUCUCCUACCAUGGUAUCUGCACAGAUGUCUAGUCCCAGAAUCUGUAGAUUUAAAUGUAAAAAAAAAAAAAAAAAAUUAUGAAUUAGAAUUGGGUUUUCUCACAAAUCUAUAAGCUAUCAUUGAAAGUUUCAUGGUUAUAAUACCUUCAAUGUAUAAUCAGUGACAACAUUUUCCUUCUGACCUUCUGUUGCUGCUGCCUGAAAUAUUGGAAUCCAAUGAUGAAAAUGUCAACCACCAUGCAAGCAACUUCAGUACAUUAAGAAAUUUCAUAGAUAAAAGAUUCUGACAUAGCAUAAAAUUCACAAAUUAGAUUGAUUCAAGCCAUUCAUUUGAGUAAAAAAAGAAAGAAACAAACUCCAGAACAGACAGAACACCGACAAUACAAAGCCAUUUUGCCUAUCUAUGUCAGAAUUCAAAAUUUAAUUUAUGGAAAAGAGUAGUAUCCAUGUUCACUGAAAGCAAAUAGCUCAAUUUUCUGCAGAACUGAUUAAAAUUUCACUAAAAGUAGAUUCUGUCUUACCUUCAUGAGACAUCAAGAUCAGGAUCAGGCUUAUUAUUUGCUGCUUUNNNNNNNNNNNNNNNNNNNNNNNNNNNNNNNNNNNNNNNNNNNNNNNNNNNNNNNNNNNNNNNNNNNNNNNNNNNNNNNNNNNNNNNNNNNNNNNNNNNNACAUCAAGAUCAGGAUCAGGCUUAAUAUUUGCUGCUUUCUCUCUUCUUGACAGCUCUGCUAACAUGUCUGAGGAUGGCAAAAGUAAGAGUCAAUCUCCUAGGCUAUGCAAAUGUCAUAUAACCACAUUCACAACCUGCAAAAAGCAGAGAAAUAAAAAGCAAAGGCAAUGGUUUAGACUAACCAUAUCGAUCUCCAACACCCUGGCAUCUUGCAGAGAAUGCCAAGGUUUCCCUUACAGUCAUUUCUCCUAUAUGGGUAUCAUGUUGGCUGAUAUAAGCUGCAGUUCUCUGGGGUACAAACUCAUUCAUGCUGUGACCGUUGUAUGUCACCCUUCCCGUAACCUAAAGAAGGAAUUUCAGUUUUUAAGUUGGAUAUGAGAUUAAAGAAAUAAAAAAUCAAACAUUCGAUAGAGAAUCGGGGAGUGAUAAUCAUUUUCUUUCAACCUUUAGAUUGGGAUCAAGCUUUCCAGCCAAUGCCAAUAAGAGGGUGGUCUUUCCAGAACUUGGAGGACCUAAAAGCAACGUCAUUCUGCAGAAGAAAAAUAUGCACAAAAAUCAUGAUCAUGGAUCUUCAGGACAUUCUAAAUUUGGAGAACGAAAAAUUCAUUUGAGUUAUCAAUCCAUUUUUAAUUACUAGAAACAAAUUCAUGCUCACCUGCGAGGUUUGAUGAUUCCACUAACAUCAUUGAGAAUAGUGCAUUUCUUCUUUUUACUUGGAAGAAUGUGGACAGCGUUCAGGAUGCCCUUUGGAAAAGAAGGGAAAAUUAGAAUCUAAAAACAAACUUACCUAAAAGAAUACUAAGUACAUAGCUAAUGAUCAGCAUUUGCAUGUAGUUACCUCAAGUUUAUUAAAAAUGAAAUUAUGGAAUGAAGGCAAAGCUCUGCUUCCUACAAAAGCUUCUGCAUCGAUGGUAAGAUGCUCAAAUCUAACUUCAAUUUCGGGAACAUCAACUCCAACUCUGAAAAAUGGAAGAGACAUGAAAACCCAUUAUCAAAAAUUCAAAGGAAGAUGUUGGAUGCGGAGAAAUGUGGGAAACGCCUAUGAGGCAUAUUUCAGGUAAAAUUUUCAAUGUUCAAAAACAAUUGGCAAGGAAUGCAAGAGAGGAGGAGAAAUCUCACCUAUCGAUACGAUUCUUAAGCUUCAACAAGAAUUUCUCAUUGUCCUCUUCGGCAAUUUUUACCAACCUCUCCACUAAAUUCUUCUUUUCCUGAAACCCAAGGUUAUGUAUAUCAAUUUCACUGGCCUCACCCUCUGAUCCCAUCAGCAAACCUUUCCUCAACCGAUUGUAGGUGGGAAGUUUCUCGAGUGCGGCCCAUUUCAAAGCUUCCUCAUCAUCCUCAUCCCUCGAAGAUUGAGAGAAAACAUCCGCACCCGAGUUCCUCCAUAUCGAAGAACCGUUCCUCCGAAAACUACCACUGGCUCUAUAAAUGUCAGCAGUGGCCAUUGCAACCUGAAACGAAAAACCCUCCUGGAAGACCAACCAAAACCCACAAAAACCCAGAACCGUUUCCUCCAAAGUUUGGGAGAGAAGCUCAAAAAUCAGAGAUGCGUCUCCUCCCUCUCUCUUCUCUGCAUAAAAGUACCUUUGUAUUGCUAAUAUUUGAUGCCUAUAGAGUGGAGGGUUUAUAUAGUGAUGGGUAGAGCAGAAAAUGGGGUGGCUUUCAAGUUUUCAAACUUCUUGAUUUCCCGUGACUCUAUUAAAAAAUAAGCGGACAAUUUGAAUAUAUAAGAGGCUGCGCAAUGACCCCAUGAUAUAACGAACAAGGAGAUGCCACCAUUUUUUACCUGUCAAAUUCUUAAAUAAAACACUUCCAGCGUCUCUCAAUAGGGAACGUGAUUUAUUACAAGCUGUCCAACCCGCUACAUCAACUAACUUUGUCUUUUCAACCGUUGGUCCGGGUUGGUUCCAGGUGGACCCAAAUCCGCCAAAACUACAAAUGUAAGUUAUGUUUUGUUUUGUAUUUUUUUAAAAAAAACUGUUGAGUACAUUUCCCCUCCAACUCUCCUACCCCCCACAAACUUGAGUUCUAAAAUUUAAAUAAAUGACUUUUUAUGUUUAGAUAUUAUAAAGAAAAGUUAAGGAAAAACUGCCACAUAUCGUGUCACAUUCUAUAACAAUAAUAGUAAGUUCCAACGGUCAAGUCAAUCAUGGGAAAUAGAAGGUGAAUUUUUUUGUGUGUGUACUUCCUUUAGAGAGGGUUGUUUCGAUUUCUCGUUUGUUGUUGGAUGGAAUUUUGUCAUAGAAACUGAGUUUUUUACAAUUGAAAUCCUUGCACUUGGGGAUUUGGCAUACUUUCAAAUAUCAUGUUUGAAAUCCUUGCACCAUUUUUGACCAUUUUCUUUUGAGUUUACCUUUUCUGGUGUCAGUAGACCAUUGCCUAUGUCAUUUUUCAAGUUUCUUUACGUUUGUGGAUUUUCGUUUUAGUUUCUUUUUUAAUAUGUAUGACAAAGUGGUUUAGAAAUGUAGAAGAUAGAUUAACUCGUGUUUCUAACAUGCAAUCCCUUCCACCUAACCACUUUAAUUACCACACCACCAGUAACACAACCAAUGGAAGAGACACAUGCUGAGUAUAGCCUUGCUCUAGGCCAAGACCAAAGGUUAGGCCAUGGAAGUGCUAAGAAUGAAGAUUCUGCAUACACAAUUUCAGACUUUGAGAGACUAUUUUCAAGCCACAAGGAUCAAUCCACCCUUUUGUAUUAUUUUACCAUAUAAUGUAGUUGGAAUACAAGUCAGACCCCAGAUGGUGCAAUUCUUACACCAAUAUUACGAGAUGGAGGGAGCCUAAUUGUAACACUGACCACUUAAAGCUAGAACUAUUUUCUUUCUCAUUGAAAGAAAAAGCUAAGCAUUAGGGAGACCUAGGAGUAUUAGUUCUUGGUAUGAGUUGCAAAUAGCUUUUCUAAACUGAUUCUUUCCUGCUCAAAAGGUCACAGUGCUAAAGAGGCAGAUUCUGAACUUUUGUUGUAAAGGAAAGAAAGUUUAUAUGAAUGUUGGGAUAGAUUCAAAGAGUUGUUGAUGAGAUGUCCUCACCACAGAUUUGAAAUAUCUUAGAUAUUAGUUUCUUCUUUUUAUGAGGGAACUUCUCUCCAGAUGAAGCGAACAAUAGAAAUUGUGGUGUAGGAACUUCAUGACUCAACAACCAAACCAGGAUUAAGAUUUUUGUAGUAUGUUGCUGAAAAAUCUAGAUCCUAGGACAUUCCAAUAUCCCAACUCCUUUCAGAUUCAGCACAGUAAGCCCCACCUCAAGUGGAGGAAUUUUAAAAUUCAAUACAGAAAAUAAUUUACAAGCGAAAAUGUUUGUGUUAACUAAGACACUUGAGGAGUUGAAAACAAAAAAAGGCAAAGGAAACUAGGACUAUCAAUGAGGUUUCUACCUCAUUUGAUAUGUGUGAAGGACCUCAAAAUAUAGAAAUACAACCUAAACCAGUGCACGUUGUAGGGCAGCUUAGAAGUCAAAAACUCAUCUAAUCUAGAUGUUUUUCUUGUUAAAAGUAUGUCUUUAGCUUCUGUUGCUAGGAUCUAGAGGCUUAGGAAGAAAAUAAUGCACCUAACCUAGUAUUGGGAUAGGGAAGAGAGAGAUCUAGUAUUCCUUAUGUACGUAAGGGCUCUCUUGUGCACCUUUCAGGUGUGUUGUACCAAAUUGUGCACCCACUUAGGCAACUUAAAUUGUGCACCUCUUAAGUCAUGUGUUGGAACAAAUUGCACACCCCUUCUCCAAAGCCACUAGAAUGCCCAAGCAACAUACCUCCUCAAGACUUGAAAUGUGUAACUCUUCCACUAAUAAUAAAGCGCACCCCUAGAGGUCAUUGAAACCCAUGCACUAGUCCUACGUUUGCAAAGGUUGAACACUAGAUAAUUCUUCCAAUGAUUGGUACACUCACCAAAGUAGUGCAUUCAUUCACACCUCAAGUCUUCAAUUAUACUACCAAAACUCACCCCAUGUUGAUUACAAAAAAAAAAAAAAAAGAGGUACAUGUACCAACCCUAAGGUAAUACAUCAAGGGUGAUGAUUAGUUAAUUGUACUUGCACAAACAAGUAUAGUGACAUUGGAAUAGGUGGAACAAGAGCUCAUUUUGCCCAUAAAAAGAGAACUAUGAAUAUACAAGUAGAUUUCUCUUACGAGUAGGAGUAACUUAAAGUGGUUUUAGCUUUUAGUUGGAAUUUUUCAUUUUUUCUUUUUUGGUAACCUACAUAUGGGAGGCCUCAACUUAGAUAACCUUUAGCACUCCAAGGGGUAAGAGGAGUUGAAGUCUCCCAUAUGUAGGGAAUCUCGGAUCACUUUGUUCCCUAUCUUAGGACUAGGUUAGGUGCAUGAUUUUCUUUCUAUUCCACUAGAUCCUAACAAUGGAAGCAAAAUACAUACUUUUUAACAAAAAAGAUAUAAAUUAAUGCAUUUGGGAAACUUUACCUUUGAUUUGGACAUUCCCAAAUUAAAUCCUUUUGGUAAAGAUGAAGUCUCUAAAGUCUCUAGAGAUCUUGUAUACCCACAUUAAUCUUCUAACCUUGAUCCUUGACAUACAAAUGAUGGGUUGUUUAGGAGGUUGGAAGCUAAGACUCUCUCUAUUUGGAUGGUGGAAGACUAAAAGUUAGAAACCCUAACCCCUAAGGAGGUAUUUAUAAGGUUCCCCACUAGGCUUAAAUGACUUAAGCCUAUUAAGGGCUUAAGUCAUUUAAUUUAACAUAAAAAAAGUCCUAAUUAAUUAAUUAAUCCAAUAGUAUUGUUCAACUAAUCAAUUAGCUCAAUCUAAAGAUGUUGUUCACCAACCCAUAUGCAACCUUGUGAAAUUACCAAAAUAUCCUUAUGCACAUAAAUGAAUAAAGAGCUAAUCCAAUCCUCAUAAAUCAUGUCAUUAAGGUACAUGAGCUCGAGUGGGGACCAUUAGGACUUAAAAGAUAGUAGUAACUCCCUAAGAAUCCAAUUCUAAAUUUUAUUUAAUAUCCCAUUACAAAAAAAUCAACUAUAAUCCAGUACUGUAUAUAAAUAACAAUGAAACACUAAGUACUCAUGUUCGUGUCCUACCAUCCAUUGCAUACAGUUUCCUCAUGAAUUGGUAUUUAUAGCCUAAUAAAGUGAAAACUAUCAACCUCUUAAGACUACCUCUAUCAUUCAAUUACAAAUCUUUUUAUUGUGUGAUCAAUUGACAUAUCCUAGCUCAUAAAAAGCUUAAGCUAAGUUCCACUUAAGGAACUACUAUGGUCAUAUAUAGUUUACCUGAACACACAUCCUUAUGAUCACUUAAAAUAACACAUUGUCUCAAAGUUCAUAAGAUAUAUAUCAUGGUGUCUAUCAAGAAAACCUAUUGCUACUGACUUCCAUCAAUAGUGACCCAAUCUAUAAGAAAUAUAUGAUCACUUUAAUAUAUCUUCUAUAAGUCAAAGCCAUUGCUAUUUUGGCAUAAGUUUAGUAUUCUCUCAAGGUUAAAAAAAUAACAUAAUAAAAUAGCUUGGUGAAGUUAUGACAACUUGAUAGCAUUAUGUCAUGACUCACCAUAGGUUCUAUCCAAUAUGUAACCAUACACACUAGUGCAAAACCUUAUCCUAAUGACUAAGACCAACUAUCCCUUCAAUUAGGAAGUAGUACACUACAAUCUCUAAUACGUUGUCUAAGUUUAUUAUGUGAUCAACUAACAUACUCUAACUCCAAGGAGCACAUGUCAAAUUCCACUAAAGCAAUUACUAUGGCCAUAAAUUUCAUGAUCACAUAUCCUUUGAAUCACUCAAGAUGACACAUUGUCUCAAUCCCAUGAGAUAUAAUGGUGUCUCUAUUGAGAAUACAUGUUGCCACCAAUCUCCUUCAAUAAUGACCCAAUCCAUGUAUAUAAUGACCACUUUAGGGUCUUACCCAUAGGUCAAAGCCUCUUGUUGAUUUGGCACAAACUCAAUAUCCUCUCAAGGUUAAAAGUCCAUAUAGUAUAGUAGCUUGGUGAAUCAUGAUAAUUGAUAGCCUUGUGUCAUAAUUCAUUAUAGAUCUUGUUCAAUAUGCAUCACAUACACUAGUGCACUCACCAUGAGAAACUCAUCCUUACGGCCAAGAUAAGUCAUCCCUUCAAUUAGGAGGUGGUACACUAUAGUCUCUAUUGGAUUGCCCAAAUCCAUGAACCAAUUGUGGACAACUUAUCUACUUAUAAGGAACCCAUGACUUGUAUCUUCUAUGCAACUCUUAAUGCACCCAAGUUAUGUACAAUGUAAGAGACAUGGGUUGAAUGCUCAAAUCAAUGUUAAUACACCAAAGCGAUAGCAAAUGGAUAAUUAAGUCUAACUUUGUUACAUCAUGGCUUGUUUUUAUGGGCUUAAUCCCAAUAGUUUUGACUUCUUAUUUACAGUAUUUAGUUUCUAUAAAAGAAAUAGGAAAUUUGCAAAUACAAAAUAUUUCUUAUUGUAGCGGUUAUAAACUAGAAAAAUUGUUCGUUUUACCUUUCAAUAGAAGUGUUUACUCUUCUUUUAUACCAUUUGAUUUAGUUCAUUUCCCAAUUUCUACAAAAGGAAAGUCUUGAUAUUAUGUUUCCUUCAUUGAUGAUUAUACUCGUUAUUAUUGUUUUUAUCUUAUGAAACAUUGUUCUUUUUUUUUUUUUAGUAUUCAUAAUGCCUUUUAAGACUUUGUAAAAACUCAACAUUUUAUUGUUAUCAAGUGCUUUGGGUGUGAUUUCAAUGGAAAGUACACUUCCAAUGUAUUUCAUGAAUUACUUGCUUCACAUGGAACUAUUCACCACACUUCUUAUCCUAGCACUAUAGAGUAGAAUGGUGUUGCUAAAAUGAAACAUAGACACAUUGUUGAAACUACUCAUUUGCUCUUAUUAUCUACAUGUGUUCUUACUAAACCUUUAGUUGCUCAUGAUUUGAAAAGUUGUAACGUUAUGCUCUUGAUUACUUUUCCUUAAGAGUCUUUGGUUGUACUUAAUUAUUUUCUCUUUAAUUAGUCCUCAUGUGGAGCAUACUAAGUUAUCUUCUCAUUAUGUCAUUUGUAUUCUUAUAGGGUAUAGAGCAUACUAAGUUAUCUUCUCAUUCUAUUAUUUGUACUCUUAAGUCAUAUCAUUGCUUUAGCUUUUAUUCAUAAUCUUUCUAAGCAUCUACCCUAUAAAGAAGUUUUUCUUAAUCAUCUUUGGCAAUUGGGUAUGACUAAGAAACUUUCUGUUUUACAUGAGAUUAACACUUAGGAUUUGGUACCUUUACCACUUGGUAAGGGUACAAUUUGUUUGUGUCAUGUCCAUAAAAUCAAAACUAAGUUUGUUGGUUCAAUUAAGUGGUACAAAGCCCGAUUAGUUGCUAAAGGGUUCUUUAAAUACUCAUAUUUUACUUUCCCUAUAUGUUGAUGACAUGAUUAUUACAAGUGAUGAUGUUUAUAGGAUUAUAAUUUUAAAAUUAUAUUUGGAUUUUGAUUGGAGCCAAAAUAUGUGCUCUAAUGACACAUAUUCAAUAUAAUUUGUGCACCAAAGGACACUCAAAUCACCCAACUUGACCUAAAUCAAUGGUAAGGUCUUAGCCAUGAGUUUAACUUAUAUUUUGGAUAUUUAUGUCAGAUUCAAGGAAAGAAAAUGGUGCAAGUUGAAUUACUUUAGAUUUUGAAAGACCAAGAAAGGGUUAAAUAAAAAGAUAAGUGAGUCAAAACUCAUGAACCAUGAGGAAAGUCAAGAAGAGGAUAUCGUGAGUUUGAAAGAUGAGAAAUGACCAUUAUGGAGGAAGAAAGAAGGUAAGAAAACAUGGGAAAUGAAGCAUGAAGCAAGAUUCAACUGCAUGGAAAUUUAGAACUCAAAAUCCGGUGGUAACAUAUACUCUAAAUUUAAGGACAAAUUUGGAGUAGUUACUGGAGUCCAUUUUAGACAUACUAUAUAUUUUUUAGAAUCUUGGGAAUUCAGGAGUCUAACGCUUCAAACAGUAUGCAAAUCAGAGUUGAAAUGAAGAAGUUAUGGUCAUUUGAAGACAAUUGCACAAAGUUGAAGAACCAUUUCGAAAUUCAACUUAUGAAUUCGAAAUGACCCCAAUUUCAAAUUCACCCACUGUCACUUUGAUAUUUCACCUCCUCAACUUAUUAUUUUUUUAAAUUAUUUUUAGGUAAUUAUUUUGUAAUAAGUGGCUAAUGAGAGUGUUUUACAUGUUAGGUUUUGAUGAUAUUAUAUAAACUCUCUUAGUUCUAGGGUUUAGAGAUCUUAGAUCUUUUUUCGGAGAGUUUGACAUUGGAGGUGGAAAAAAAUGAGAACUUUGGUUUAUUUUCUUUUCUUCUUUAUUAAAUAUAUUGUUUUUAGUUCUUUUGAUUCAAAUUAUGGAUUUUUAUCCUAUUAUGGAUUAUGAAUGUGACAUUACCCCCAAGAGAGGCUAAAAAGCCAACUUGGGCCUUGAAGCAUGACAACCUAAGGACUAGGAAAUCUAUAGGGACAAUGGGUAAAUUAUUAUAACAAUGAGAUUAGUUAUUGGUUGGGUGACAAUUUAUUAAUUUUUUAUCCUAUCCUUGCGAGUUAGUUUAAGAAAUGAUACAGUAGGUUAUUACCCGAUACUAGUGAUUCUUGGUAACUCUUGAUCAUUAGUUAUCCUCGUCUUCUUUAUCUUUAUUGCCCCAAAACAAAGUUAUAAGGACUAGAAAGUUUUAAAAAGUCAAAUCGAUAAUCGAUAAUCAAUCUCAUUCAUUUCAUAGUUUUAGGAAUCUGUUUUAAAAAGAAAAAAUUAGGCUUCAGAUGCAAUUUUGAGUUAUAGAAUUCAAGUUGAUCGCGAGCAACCAAAGAUCCCAAAACCUUAAGAUCAUAUUACUUAAAAGACCCAAGAUCCCAAAACCCUAAGAUCAAAUUACUUAAAAGACCCUUGUUUUCUCUAACUUCUAUACCCUAAGUUGGAUUGUGGAAAGCCCCAAACUUGAAUCAAUCGAAUUUAAAAUCAAUAUUUAUUUUGUUAUUAAUUUAAUUUCUUUUUACUUAGUUUCACAUUAUUCACAUAUCAUUUUCCACUUUAGGAUUCAAAUAAAAGUAAUUUAUUUACUCUAGUAUUGACAAAUCCCAUAAGCCAAUCCUUGAGGAUGAUACCCGAAAUACUACAAAAGUCAUAGCAGUUUUUUCUUUGAUCUUUAUGGCCAAAGCUACUACAUAUUAGGCUUACGUAUUUUGGUACAAUAGAGAAGUUCGAUCAGUUUCCUAUUUUGAAAAGAAGAAUUUGGGCUCUCUACCAAACUUUUUAGAUAUUGGUGUAGUUUUUUUCUCCGAAAGGUUAUCUUCUCUCACUCUCUAAGUACAUAGUUGAUAUUCUCAAUUACUCGCCUCAUUAAUACUAAGACUGUUGAUACUCUUCUUGAGGUUAAUGUUCAAUAUUCUUCUUUUGAUGGUAACCCUUUGUCAUACCCUACUUAUAUUGUACUAUUAUUAAUAGCUUAGUCUAUUUCACAAUUAUAUGUUCAGACAUUGGUUAUGUUGUUCACAUUAUUAAUUACUUUGUUAUUUCUCCUAUUAUAGUUCAUUGGGUUGUUGUUAAUAAAAUACAAAAGACAUAUAAAUAAAGUUAAAUGUUAUAUUUUUUUUCAUUUUAUAUAUAUCUUUAUAUUUAAAUAUUAUAAAUGGUCUAUUUAAUAAAAUUUAAAAUAUUAAUAUAUUUAUAUUUCUCUUCAUCAUUUAAUUUGAUAUGUCAAAUAUAAAAAUAAAAUAUUAUUAAAAAAAUUUAAUUAUAUAUAAUUUUAAUUUCUUAUAAUUAUUUAAAAUUUUAUAUAAUAUAUAAAUUAUUAUUUAUGAUGUCAUCGGGACGACCAAGGUCCAACAAUCCGACCGAGGUCCCGACCAUCGAUUCUGAACCAUGAACUAAUAACUUUUCUGAUUCAAUCAUCAAUCCAAUUCUCAAAACAUUGAUCAUAUGAAUUAAUAGUACAAAAAUUCAUGGUCCCACUAUUGAUUUUUUUAAAAAUAAAAUAAAAUUAACCAUGAAAUAUGGGCCCCAUGUUGUUCUUAAAUCUUAAUUAUCAAAUAAAAUGAUGAAAUAUUUUAAAAUUUAUAAUUAUUUAUAUAUUUUUUUAACUUAUUAUAAUAAUUUUUAAUUUUUAACCGUGAUUCAACAAGCAAUCAUUGAAUCAUGAAUCAAUAACUAUUUUGAUUCAAUAACCAAUCCAAUUUUGAAAGCAUUGGUAAAUAUAGGCAUACAACUAUUGGAAAUGACUCCCGACUUUCCAAGGAAGGCCUAAACUUCCCUUUUUUCUUGCUGAAUUCUAAAUUUAAUAGCAUUGCAAACGCUGCAGAUUAAAAACACAGGUCUAGUUUUUUUAUAGUUUCUAAAUUUUCAUCCUUUUAUCGUGUCUUUGGUACUUAGAGCAGAGACUGAAAGUGGAGGCCCAUACUGUUAAGUUGGUAAUCAAGGAUGAAAGAAUAGCUCAAGGUUCUAUUACUGUCUGGAAUUUCAAACUACAUAAAAUUGGGACGACAAAGAAAUUAAAGAAUUUAACAUCCUAACAUCCUACUUACACGAAGAACAAAACCUUUUUUUUUUUCGUCUUACAAUUAAAUGUUGAACUGGAAAGUUUAGAACUUGUGCUCAUGAGUUCUUAUCGCUUUUGGAAGUUAAAUGCCUUAAUGGCAUAGGCAAAGAUGAAUAAGAAAAGCACCACAAACCCAACAACCACAGCUGCAACCACUCCCAGGAAAUCAUGUUUGAAUCCAAAAUAAUCAUCCAAGAAUUGUUUCACCGUUUGAUUAUUCUCAAGUAGUGUGCUCUGUAUAUCUCCAAACUGUGAUGCAACCAAUCCAUACAAAGUCCAUGCAACUGGACAUAUCCAACAGUACCAUCUCCACCACACCGGAAUUCUCUGUAUUCAUCAAGAAAUGCAACAAUACGAGUCAUUUCUAUAUCCAUGUGGUAAGGAAAGUUGCAAUUUAAAGAAUCACAGGUUGAGGCCACUUACGUUUCGUGGGACUAUGAAACCUGAAAAGAGGUUCCAUAAUGUAUAAAAUGUUGCGGCAAUGAUGGAAGCAAUAUGUUGAUUUGGCGUGGCAGCCACAGCCAUCAUGCCAUAGAAGGUGAAGUACAACAAAGUGCAGAACAUGAAGAACAGAUACCAGAAGAAUUUAGUGGCUGUCCAUUCAAAUCCAAUCAUUCCAUAAACUAUAACACCAUACACCACAGCUUGUGCAAAGACAUAUGGAAUCUCAACAAGAGCCUGCAACAAGAGAAGAAAUUUGAUUAUUAAAAGGCAAAACGUAUUACAUAUAUGCAAAGUCCGUAGCAUCAGAAAACUAAUUACCUGUCCAAAGGCAUAUGGCAGGGCUGAAUACAUUCCAGCAGCUCUUUCUCUGUAAAAGACUGUUCGUUCAACUACAAUGACUGGCUGGACCGAUUGGGCGUUCUGAACCCCAAGAAAGAGAACAGCAGCAUACAUAGAACCCAUUGCAUUUAACAGAUCUUGUUGCCUUGUCCUGCCAUUUACCUCAUCAAGUAAAAAUUAAAGUUGAUAUAGAGAAACAUACUGAGUUCUCAAAUUUUUGAACCGACAUCAAAUUACCUUCUGGUGCCCAGAUCCCAGAAAAUUAACCCAAACAUCAAGGCUAUGAAAGUUGUGAAGAGAAAUCUCACUGCCGUGUAUGGUGGGUUCCGCCAGUAUGACCAACGUUGUUUCCAUAAGCAUGCCAAAAAUUGGGUGAAGAAGGGUUGGGAGUAUUGAGUAGCAAAAUAGAGGUCUUUUGUACCAGGGGCAGGUUGGCUCAGUUCUUUAAUUAAAUCUUUGUUUCUCCUGAAACAUAUGCCACUUUUUAGAACAGGUUUCAACAACAAAUUUAAGCUUUUCACGAGAAACAUUAGGAUGGAUGUAUAUGACUUUUCAAUCUUAUAAUGCAAUUAGAUAACCUAUGCUUGAAUCACCUGUAUAGGUCUGAAUUCUUGUAUAUUUCAGUGAAAUCGACCCCCAAAGUUCCUUCUUGUGCUCCGGUGGUAACUUCCAGCAUCCAGGUUGCAGGGUUAUAACCAUCUUUGAUUUUACUGACUCCUUCAAUUCCCUUUAUGAAAGCAAGUGAUAUGUAUUAGUAAGUGCUUAAUAUGAAUUAACUCAAACUGAAGUAUUCACUUCUUAUAGCUUCUACAUUAUCAUGGCAGCUUACCUCAAAAUAAUUUAUCAGAUGGGAAGAAUGUCUACCCAGUGGUCCCACAUAUAUCUCUUGCCCUCCACGCUUCAUCAGGAGCAACUGCAAAUCCAUUUUAAAUAUUUCAGUGCCUAUAUGCAAAGAGCACAGAAGAGAAACUAUAAUUCUAUCCCUUAAUAUUUCCUACCUCAUCAAAGGCCUCAAAUAUGUCAAUACUUGGCUGAUGGAUGGUGCACACAACUGUUCUUCCUGUGUCCACAGUGUUUCUGACUGUUCUCAUAACAAUUGCAGCAGCUCUUGCAUCUAGCCCUGAAGUUGGCUCAUCCAUGAAUAUUAUUGAGGGAUUUGCCACAAGCUCAACUGCAAUAGUCAGCCUCUUGCGCUGCUCAGUUGAGAGGCCAUUUACACCUGGCAACCCAACCAGUGCAUCCCUCAAUGGGGUCAGUUCCACAAGCUCCAUGACUUCCUCAAUGAACAUCUGUAACCAUUAGCAAUGAUUAUAAAUUGUUCAAAAAACGUUGCAAACCAUAGUAGAGAUGGUAAAAAAUUUGAGACUGCUUGUGACUCUUCUGUUAUCAGGCUGUGAAGAGGUUUCCCUAGUCUUACUAAAUGGAUCGGUUAAUAGGUGCAAAUGCUCAAUAACGCUCAUUAGCUUGCAUGAACUUCACCAGAUUGGAUUAAAAGUCAAUGAAAUUUGAACCAGCACUUUUUCCCAGGUGAAGGUCAAUCCAAACUUGAACUGACCUUACCUCAACCAAAUAUGAAAAGUCAAUUUUAGGGCUUUGCUUGUUUAGAGCACUAAAUUGAACAAGAAAAAUAUAGAAACAAUUAAGAAGACUCCUACCUUUCUGGUUUCAGAAUUCACAUCAGAAGGCAACCGCAGCCAAGCUGAGUAGAGCAAGGACUCAUGGACAGUAACAUGAGGAGAGUGGAUGUCAUUCUGCUCACAGUAUCCAGAAAUUCGAGCAAAAGUCUCUUGCUUCUUUGGGUAGCCAGAAAUAGAAAUGUUACCCUCAAUAUAUCCACCAGUUUUCCGACCAGCCAGUACAUCCAUGAGAGUGGUUUUACCAGCACCACUAACACCCAUCAGAGCUGUAAGAACACCAGGCCUGAAAGCACCACUCACCCCCUUCAGAAGCUCCAGUCUGUCUUCAAGGGCACCCUGACUUUUCAUUUCCUGCAAGUUCAUUUCAAACAACUCAGUUCUCAUUUCUGGUUUAUAGUACAUUAUGAAAAAACUUCAGUGCUGCUAAAACAUAUGUCAUCAUUUGAAUAAAUAUGAUGUUACCUCUGGCAUGUCAACUGAGUAUCUAAUAUCAUCAAAAGUGAUAGAAUGUGGUUGGAAUGGAAGAACCAUUCCUUUCUUCUUAUUAUGGUUACCCUCAGCAAUGGCUUCUACCAUAUGCUCUCCCCUCUCUGCAUGUCAAGUUUAAAUUCAGUGAGCCAUAUAAAACAUGUAGUUAAAUGACAAGAAUUGAGUCAUACAAAGGCAUGCAUGCAUGCACCAUGUAUGAGUUUCAUCACCUGUGGUUGCAGUUUUGGCAUUGUCAGACUCUUCUGUUAUAACAGCUUGAGGCUUCUCAAAUGCUGCGCAAUUUGCACAAUGUUAGUACACUAAUCUCAUAUUUUUAGGAGUUUCAAUGCAGAGAAGGUACAGAUACCCACGAUUUAAGUAAUUGAGGCAGAGAGUGUAAAAGAAGUUGAAAACAAAUAUGAAUCCAAGCAGUGCCCCAGCUCCUAUCCAGUACCAGUGUGCGUCUGUGAAGAACCCACGAGACUUCAAUACUGUGAUUCCAAGGGAUUCUGUUGAAUUGGUAACAUUCUGAAAAAUGGAAAUAAGUACAAUCAUCAGUUACUGACACACACAAAUAUUCACAUGGAACAUUCAAGAACUUACUUUGCUCCAACUCUUCCCAAGGAAUUCAUUUACCACUAUUGCAUUCUGUGCAUACAUCAGAGGGGACGACCAGUAACCCCAAAUCCACCAUUUCUUGACAUUAUCUGCAGCAUUGACCAAAUAAAAAAGGAAACAAAAAUUCAUUAUUAGGGGUUAUGCACAAGAAGGUUCCAUGCUUCCUAAAAGGAUAUUUCCUCAUCAUACCAUGUGACAGGAUAAAACCACCCAAUGCCAUGAGCAUAAGUACAGCAAAUGCCCCAAAUGUGCUUGCAACAAUCAUGUUUCUACCGGCUGCUGCUAUAAAUCGAAAUAAUCCAGAUGCCAUCUGAUUAACAAGCAAGAGGAGAAGAUACUGUCUAAACAACCUGCAAUAAGGAGAUUUGUUUAUUCAGCAUUAAUCAUUUUGGAACAGAGAAAACAUGUAAAAGAAAUCUGGAUAAGUUUCUGCAACUUCAUAACUUUUUAACUUUUACCUUUCCACAUUUGGAUCAAAUCCAAUGACAUAGUAAGUGAUGAACACCCAAACAGCAACUUCAACAAAUGUGAUGGGGAUCUUGAGCACCCAUGUGGGAAGAGCAUAUGCCCAUGCAGGAUAGAAGAGAAAGUCUCUUUGCUUGUAAAAGACAGGAAGUUUUGCAAUUGUCAUGGCAAGUUCUGCCAUUCCAUUAAACAUGAUCAUGACAACAGUGAAGAACAAGGCACCCGUGUAAAUGCUUCCAUCUUCUGUUGAAUUUUUGUUCAUCUCAGUUCUUAGGAAGAGUGUCAUUGCAAUCACUGCCACUACUGCAAGCUAAAAAUAGAAAUAAAAAUAAUAAAUUACGAUCAGAUAUACAAAAUUAAAAGCCAUAGUUAUAAUUAGCAAUAAUAAUAAUAAUACUCACUUGGGUGAGUUUGAAAAUAUAAACAAAUGAGUUCCUCUUCAUCAGUAAGUACUCUCUUGACAUGUUGGCAUCCAACAGUUCCUUCUUUCUAACACCAUACUUUUUGGUUGUCAAAGCAGCUGGGUGGCUUUUGGCCCUGUCAAAUGGUGAUGCAAGCUCAUCUGCUACUUUCCGUCCAAUGUGAAAGGACUGGAAUGCCUCAGCAAAUUCCUUGACUGUGACAAAGCUGUAAGGCACAUCUUUACGUGCCCAAUACUGGGCCUGAUCUUUUCUAGAUGUUACCUGCAAUGAAUUUUAAAGUUCAUGUUCUAGCUCUAUUUUUUUCUCAAAAAAAGAAAAAAAAGAAAAGAAAAAGACAGAAGAUAACAAAGCUAGAUUUGCACGCACUUCUUGCAGGAAGUCUGCCUCACCCUUCCUUUCAGGACAUUUGAAGCCUAUGGAUUCAAAAAAUUCAAGCACAUCUUCACGAGGACCUUGAUAAACAAUCUGACUAUCAGAAAGGAGAAUGAUGUCAUCAAAAAGAUUGUAAGUCUCAGGUGCUGGCUGGAGGAGAGAGAUGACAGCAGUCCCAUUGAGAAUGUGGAUGGUUUGCUUGAGAGAAUUGAUGAUUUGAAAAGUUGUUGAGCUGUCCAAGCCAGUAGAGAUCUCAUCCAUAAACAGUGCCUUUGAUGGUCCGACCAGCAUCUCACCUAUCAUUCAUACAUUUCACAUAAUUGAAUUAAAUUAAAUUAAUGAACAAAAAAUCUAAUUUGAUUUGUUUUUUCAUUUAGUUAGAAACCAAAUUAUCCCACCUGUUGUGACACGCUUCCUUUGUCCUCCAGAGAUACCCCUUAUCAUCUCAUCUCCUACCAUGGUAUCUGCACAGAUGUCUAGUCCCAAAAUCUGUAGAUUUAAAUGUAAAAAAAAAAACAAACAAAUUAUGAAUUAGAAUUGGGUUUUCUCAGAAAUCUAUAUGCCAUCAUUGAAAGUUUUAUGGUUCUAAUACCUUCAAUGUAUAAUCAGUGACUACAUUUUCCUUCUGACCUUCUGUUGCUGCUGCCUGAAAUAUUGGAAUCCAAUGAUGAAAAUGUCAACCACCAUGCAAGCAACUUCUGUACAUUAAGAAAUUUCAUAGAUAAAAGAUUCUAACAUAGCAUAAAAUUCACAAAUUAGAUUGACUCAAGCCAUUCAUUUGAGUACAAAAAGAAAGAAACAAACUCCAGAACAAACAGAACUCCGACAUUAAUACAAAGCCAUUUUGCCCAUCUAUGUCAGAAUUCAAAAUUUAAUUUCUGGAAAGAGCAGUAUCCAUGUUCACUAAAAGCAAAUAGCUCAAUUUCUGCAGAGCUGAUUAAAAUUUCACUAAAAGUAGAUUCUGUCUCACCUUCAUGAAGACAUCAAGAUCAGGAUCAGGCUUAAUAUUUGCUGCUUUCUCUCUUCUUGACAGCUCUGCUAACAUGUCUGCACAUGGCAAAAAUAAGAGUCAAUCUUCUAGGCUACGGAAAUGUCAUAAAAUUGCAUUCACAACCUGCAAAAAGCGGAGAAAAUAAAAGCAAGGGCAAUGGUUUAGACUAACCAUAUCGAUCUCCAACACCCUGGCAUCUUGCAGAGAAUGCCAAGGUUUCCCUUACAGUCAUUUCUCCUAUAUGGGUAUCAUGUUGGCUGAUAUAGGCUGCAGUUCUCUGGGGUACAAACUCAUUCAUGCCAUGGCCGUUGUAUGUCACCCUUCCCAUAACCUAAAGAAGGAAUUUCAGUUUUGAAAUUGGAUAUGAGAUUAAAGAAAUAAAAAAUCAAACAUUCCAUAAAGAAUGGAGGAGUAAUAAUCAUUUUCUUUCAACCUUUAGAUUGGGAUCAAGCUUGCCAGCCAAUGCCAAUAAGAGGGUGGUCUUUCCAGAACUUGGAGGACCUAAAAGCAAAGUCAAUCUGCAGAAGAAAAAUAUGCACAAAAAUCUUGAGUAUGGAUCUUCGGGACAUUCUAACUUUGAAGAACGAAAAAAUCAUUUGAGUUAUCAAUCCUUUUUUUACUAGAAACAAAUUCAUUCUCACCUGCGUGGUUUGAUGAUCCCACUAACAUCAUUGAGAAUAGUGAAUUUCCUCUUUUUACUUGGAAGAAUACGCACAGCGUUCAGGAUACCCUUUGGAAAAGAAGGGAAAAUUAGAUCUAAAAACAAACUUACUUAAAAGAAUACUGAGUACAUAGAUAAUGAUCAGCAUUUGCAUGUAGUUACCUCAAGUUUAUUAAAAAUGAAAUUAUGAAAUGAAGGCAAAGCUCUGCUUCCUACAAAAGCUUCUGCAUCGAUGGUAAGAUGCUCAAAUCUAACUUCAAUUUCGGGAACAUCAAUUCCAACUCUGAAAAAAUGGAAGAGUCGUGAAAACCCAUUAUCAAAAAUUCAAAGGAAGAUGUUGUUUGGCUGUGGAGAAAAUGUGGGAAACACUCAUGAGGCAUAUUUCAGGUCAAGUUUUUUUUUUUUUUUCCUCUUUAUGUCCUUCUGUUUUCAAUGUUCAAAAACAAAUGGCAAGGAAUGCAAGAAAGGAGGAGAAAUCUCACCUAUCGAUACGAUUCUUGAGCUUCAACAAGAACUUCUCAUUGUCCUCUUCGGCAACUUUUACCAACCGCUCCACUAAAUUCUUCUUUUCCUGAAACCCAAGGUUAUGGAUAUCAAUUUCACUGGCCUCACCCUCGGAUCCCAUCAGCAAACCUCUCCUCAACCGAUUGUAGGUGGGAAGUUUCUCGAGUGCGGCCCAUUUCAAAGCUUCCUCAUCAUCCUCAUCCCUCGAAGAUCGGGAGAAAACAUCCGCACCGGAGCUCCUCCAUAUCGAAGAACCGUUCCUCCUUAAACUACCACUGGCUCUAUAAGUGUCAGCAGUGGCCAUUGCAACCUGAAACGAAGAACCCUCCUGCAAGACCAAUCAAAACCCACAAAAACCCAGAAAUUUUUCCUCAAAAGUCUGAGAAAGAAGCUCAGAGUUUUGAACCCUGGAGCCCAAAGAAGCUAAAAAUCAGAUACGAGUCCCCUUCCCCCCUUUUCUCUGCAUAAAAGUCUCUACCCUUUGAAUUGGUAAGACUUGAUGCCUUCAGAAUGGAGGGUUUAUAUAGGUGAUGGGUUGAACAGGCCCUCAAGUUUUCGAACUUCUUGGUUUCCUAUGACUUUUCCUUAAAAAAAAUUAGCGUGGAAAUUGAAUAUAUAAGCUGCUGGGUAACGAUUCCAACGACUUUGACCCGUCAAAUUCUUAAAUCAAACACUUCUAGAGUUUCCCAACGGGAGCGCGAUUUGUUUAAAGCUUCCAACCCGCCAAAUGAACUAACUUUUUAAAACACUCAUCUUCUUAUCUCUUUCAGGAAAAUAAAUAAAUAAAUAAAAUUGUGGUCAUAUCAACAAUAAAAAAUAAAUUUAAAAUUUUUUAAAUUUAAAAUAUAAUUAAAAUUAAAAAUAUAAAAAAUAAAAUAUUGACCCUGAUUACAUUUUCAGCGCUUUUUCAUUAUCUAUCUUUUGUUUAUUUGUUUAUUAUCAUUAUUAUAUACUAAAAUUCCCGCAAAACAAAAUUGAAUAUAAAUAAACAUAAAUAAUAAUAAUAAUUGUUAUUAUUAUUGUAUACAAUAGUAAUAAUAACAAUAAUGAUAAAUGAAAAAAAAAUAAACAAAAGAUAGGUAUUGAGAAAGAGUUGAAAAUGCGUUAAGAGCUAACAUAUCAUUUUUAUAAUUUUAGGAUUAAAGUUUUUUUUUAACUUUUUAUUGCAUUUAUUUUUUAAAACUUUCAUUUUAUUGUUUAGGCCAACCAACAAAAUUUUUUUCAAUUUUUUAUUUUUAAUUUUUAAAAAAAGAGAUAAGAAGAUGAGAUGUUAAAAUCAAGAAUGUUUGAUUUAUAUAAUGCAAAAUAUAAAAUUAUUAUGGGAGGAUUUUUCCACAAUGACUUGCAUUCAAUAUUAUAUAAUUAAUAAAUUAAUAAAUAUAUUUACUAGUAAGAUGAUUUUAACAAAUUUAUAAAUAUAUUUAUUAGCAAGAUAAUUUUAUUUAUUAUUAUCAAAUUUUUAGGAGAGAUCAUUAAGAGGAUCUAGUUUUGCAUGAUUUUAAUAUUUGAUCCCUAGUUUUAUUACUAAAUAUGAGAUUAUGGUUCUAGGUAAAAAAAAAUUGCUAAUGUUAGAAAUUUGAAUAUAUAUAUAUAUAUAUAUAUAUAUAUAGGUUAUGUUUGGUUCCUAGAAAAUACUAAAGAAAGAAAAAAAAUGGAAAGAAAAAUAAUUUUUUCAUGUUUGGUUGUCCUAUGAAAAAUAUAAAAAAAAAUCAAAUAUAAUUAAAACUAAUUAAAAAAUUAUGUAUUUUUAAAUUAUUUAAUCUUUAUAUUAAUAAUUUAAAAUAAAUAAAAUGAGUUUGAAGUAACAAAAAAAUAAUUUAUCAACUUUUAAUAUAUUUUUUAUUUUUCUUCACUUUUUAUUUCCUUCUACUUUUCCUUUGUAUUUUCUUUUCCUUACAUUUUCCCUCAAAUUUUCUAGGAACCAAACAUAACCAUAGUAUUUCAACUCGGGGACCCCAACAACCAUAAACAAACCCUAAUUAGUCAACUAACCGAUUUGAUCAAUUUAUUAGUCACUAUGCAUUUAAUGCAUUGAUAGAUGAUCACUUAGACUUAGAUCCUUAAUCAGUUGAGCAAUGAAUUUGACGGAUACUCAACUAGUCAAAGCUUAAACUACUAGAAAAGAGAAAAAUAACAAAUGUCUCUUAAUUUAUCAAGUCUAACCUAUUUAGUCGGUUCCUCAACUCCUCAAUCGUAAAUGGCAUGGUUUAAGGUCUGAAACCUCCAAUAACUUACAUAAACCUUCUUAAAACUUUUCAGGAUAAAUUUAAAAGUAAUUUAGCUCAAGGUUUUAAUUGAAAAUAAGAAAUCGCCCAAUUCUUUGAGACAUAUGCAUAUAUAUAUAUAAAUUAUCUUAAUUUUACACAACAUUUUAGGUUGAUUUAAGUCUUCAAGGAUCCUAAGUCUUCCAUGAUUGCUUGAGCUUUCUUUAGAUUUUCAAUAGUAAACUUAAAAAACUUAAUUUGAUUUAAACUAUUAGUAAUUUUAACUUUAUUUUGUAAUUAUAAAAAACCUAUUAGGAGAAUCGUUGGGCUAAUAGUCUUGAUGUUUGAUCUUUAAGAUUAUUCAAUUCUAAAAAGAAAUGGGAGGGUCAAGGAUUUUUGUUGGUUGAAGGAGAGUGAGAGGGGCUAGCCAUGUCAAAUAGCACACUUUUGAUGCCUUUUAAUAAGAGUUAUUUGGUUAAAUGGGUCAAAAUAACCCCACUAUUUAUAAAUAUAACCCAUCUAUCAAAAAGUUAAAUAAAAAAAAAAACUGUUGAUUAAGACAAAAAUGCCCUUCCUUUUAUUUCCCUCCAACACUUACAACUUCUCAUUUUCUACUUCAUUUAACUUUCUAUAGAACGACUUCUCAUCUUUUCCUUCAGAAACCGUAAAAAAUUUCUCAUCAUUUUCUUCUACUUCAUUCUCUUCUUUUGGUGUACAAAAAGGAAAACUUAUCUUCUAUUCUGCUUCAUUUACAUAACAACUCCUCAUCUUUUAUUUUCUUCUUCUAUUUCAUUCUCUCCAUUUGGUGCAUAGAACAGAAAGCUCAUAUUUUCUUUAGAAGCCCUAGAAAAUUUCUCGUCUAUCAUAUCAUCUUUUGUUUCAUUCUCAAUCCUUAGAAAAAUUAUCUCAUCUCAUUUUAUCAUUUCAUCUAUCCUCUUAUCCUCUCAUUUUUUUGUCCAGUUAUCUCAUAUUGUAUCUUCAAGCACAAUAAAAAAAAAAUAGGUUCAUUGAAGAGUGAUAAAAGAAAAAGGUUAAAAAUGGUGAUAAAAAAAUCAAAAAUCCCAAUUGCGAAGAGAAAAAGCAAAAAAUUGUGACUAUGAACUUAACUGUGGUUAAGUUCUUUAUUAAUGCAACUCAACUAUUGUUAAGUUCAAGUGAAAAUUCCAACUGUGAACUUAACUGUGAUUGAGUUAUUCGUUAAUACAACUCAACCACUAUUAAGCUCAAGUGAAAAUUCUAACUAUGAACUUAACUGUGGUUAAGUUAUUUGUUAAUGCAACUCAACCACUAUUAAAUUUAAAUGAAAAUUCUGACUAUGAACUUAACUCUGGUUAAGUUAUUUGUUAAUGCAACUUAAUAAUAGUUAAGUUUAUAUUAAUGCAAUGACUGUCAACUUAACCAUAAUUAAACUUAACUAAUUAAUUUAUAUGAUAAAACUAAAACAUUAAUUUAAAAUUUCAAUCUAUGAUUCAAAAAAAUUGCUUUAAGCAUAUACAAAAAAAUAGGCUCACAAAUCCCUUCAUGACCCUAUACAAAAAAUUAAAUAAAUAAAAAUGUAGAUACAUAGUUAAAUCAUCCUCAAAAAAAAAAUUCUAUGGUAGCAAUAUUAAAGUGACUUAUGAACUGGUUGUAAGGAAAAUUCUUGGAUGUUGAUAUUCCUCUCAACAAUAUUGACACAACUAUAUUCAUCUCUAGGAUGUAAUGAGAUUGGUCGUUUGCAUGUUUUUUUAUCAUGCCCAUAAUCACCAAAUCUACCACAACAUCGUGUGUGUUUAACCUCUCCACUUGAACAAAUUCUCUCCUUUCUUGGUCUUCCUACUAGUCGUUGACUUUUUAGUGGUAGCACAACUCUACAAUGAAUGUCUUCCGGAAUACAAUACAUAACUCAAUUGGAUCUAGUUGAAGAAUGCGAUACACAACUCUCAUUAAUUCAUGAUAUGAUAUAUUCUUCUUCACCGUAAAGUCUUUACCUUCACUUCCUUUAAAGUGGUAUAUGUUCUCAUCUUAUACCUAAUUCCCUUUAUACAAAAGCAUUAUUCCUACAUCAUCAAUGACUGUAGAAAUAAAUAUUUCAAAUUAUCAUAUUAAGAAUGAAAUAGUACAAUAUAUGAUAUACUUUUAUUGAGUUUCAACUAUAGACUAUGUAAUGAAUCUUGAAACAUAUAUUUAUAUUUUUAUUAAAUAACCCACUACAUAAUAAUAUGUCAACAAUUCAAUCUCAGUUUUCAGUAAAGUUAUAUAAAAAUAAAUUUUUGCUUUGAAUAGCAACACAUAAACUCAACUUAUGUUAAGUUAAACCUAACAAAUAGUAAAAUUUGUUGUUCAAUGCAUCAAUGCAACACUUCCCAUAAAUCAAAUAUCCAAAGGAACAAUAUAUAACUACAAUGGGUAUUAAUCAUGAGCAAUACUAAAACCAUAAUAAAUUUUCAUGCAUGUGAUUUAUUGCUUACCAUCAUUUGACCUUGUCAUAUGGAUAAAUCUUUUCAACUUCUUUUGAAUGAACUUUUCACUUUUUCAUAAUUAAUAAUGGAGUCUCUAUUUUUUACCUACAAUGGUGAAGUGAUAUUUUGAAUUUUUAGAAAAUAGAAAGAAAUAAAAUGAUAAUCUAAAAAAGAAAUUGUUGGGUGCUUACAUUUUUUUUUUUUCAUUUUAUCGUGAUCAAGAAUGAAGAAUAAAUGAAACAAUGGUAAGGACUUAGGCUUGUUCUCUACAGGAAAACAAAAAGAAGCAACCAAUGAUUGAAUAAAAAAAUAAAAACCUAAUCUACUAUAAAAAUAAAAUGAAUUGAAAGUUAUAUUGGAGGGAAAAUGAGGGGUAUUUUUGUCUCAAUCAAGUCAACUUUUUUGCCUUUUUAGGGGUGGGUUAUAUUUGUAAAUAUGAGUGUUAUUUUGACUCAUAUAACCAAAUAACCCUUUUAAUAAGGGUGACCAUGGUUUGAUAACCCUUACUCCUUUCCUUUUGAUUUAUUUUCAUUUCAUGGCCACUUAUUAAGAUGAGUGUUCUUCAAUAGAUUACCGUAUGUUCUUCAAAAUACAUCAUUUCAGCCUGUCUAAGCUUUGAAGAUUUUGUAACUCCAACUUUGAAUCUCUUAGAAGCAUUAAAGAUUCUUAUGCAUCCCCAAAUGAAGAUAGUAGCGGCAAGGAAAGUUUCCUAGUCUAAAAUGAAAUCUAAAGAAGGGACUUUUCCCUUCAUCUUUGAGGUUUGGACAUGACAAAGGCAACAUUUUGCACCAACUUCCUCCUAAAAGAGGUCUGUCCCAGCAAGUUCCUUUUCUUAAGGUCCUAUUGCCUUUUCCUUCAGAAUGUGUUCAACUACCACCUCCAAUGAGGGUUUUUCCUUGUCCUCCCCAUGUCAAGAUAGAUGGAGGGCUUCACUAGAUGCCCCCCCCUCCCCUUCCCCCCAAAUUAGGAAGGUUGUUGCAAGGUUCUCUUAAACGCAUCCUUAAAAAAGUUAUGCACAAUUCUUCUACCAAAGCCAAGAGUCUGUUUGCUUGUGAGUUCACAACUAAAAUAGUAAUUACAUUCUUUUCAAGUCAUUCAGUUUCCUUACUUUGGAUGGUUGUAUGCUUAAUGCUUUCAUCGUUCAUUUGUAGGCUUGCAUGAUUGUAUUUGGGGUCGCAAACCAAGCUGGUCUAUUUCAAGAGAUGCCAUUCUACCAUAAGAAUGAGAUUAAGCACCUUCGUCUUUUGAUGAAUAAGGUGUCCCUUGCACGAGUUCAAGGGUGAAGUCCAUAUUCUUGUGUAUGAGAGAAUUGUCCAAGAUAUUUCAACUUUUGGGUGGAGAAAAUAGUAAAAGAAAGAGGUGGUAGCUGUCUAAACUAACCUUAAUUUCUGCCUUCCAAGCAGAGAAUGAAUCCCUCCAUUGCAAGGUUUCUCAACUUGAUAAAGAACAAAAAAGUUUGGAAGUAGGACAGAUUUGGAUUGAGAUUAGACAUAAAGAUUCAAAACAAGAAAAGUUUGAACAAGAAUCCAGGAUUAGAAAGGCCCUAAUAGGAGGCCAAAGAAAAUGAAAAGAUAAAAUGUAUAUAUAGAAGUUGACUACAAUUUUUAGAAUGACUUAGAAAAGGCUUUCAAUAAUAGCAUAGCAAGGUAACAUCCUAAAAGGCUACAUCCUUUCAAACCAGAUGAAAAUCGACUACAUCUUUUCAAACCAAAUGAAGAUCGAGUCUAUUUAAGAGUGAUUAUGAUUAAAAUGUCAUUAUUCAUAGCAUUUUUAUUACUAGCUUCCAUUAGAAACACUUUUAAAUCUUGGACAUGAGGCUACUAAUAUUCUAAUCGGUAAUCAAGGAUGAAAGAAUUUCAUAAACUUUUAUUAUUGUCUCGAAUUUCAAAUACAAGAAAAUAAAGAUUGUUUUAUUUAAUAUAAUAAGGUGGGGGUUUUUUUCUUUUUUCUUUUUUUACUUAAUUUUAAAUAGAACAUAAAACUAAAUAGUGCUUAGUAGUAUUAAGUUUUAGAUUGUUUAUUUUUAUAAUAUUUUAUUUCUAUUAAGUGUUAAAAAAUAUAGAAAAAAAUCAGCAUAUUACUUUUUCCAUUUAAAAAAAAAACUAAAUAUUUUAGUUUUUUUAUUCAACAAAAAAAUUAUAAUAAGUCAUGAAAAUGUAAAAUAUAUAUAUAACCUAAAGUCUGAAAACAAAUUGCUUUUAGCAAAAAGUUAAAAAAGUAAACACCCUCAAAAUGUUUUUAUGAACUUGCCCAUUCUAAAGAUAUGAGUUCCAAAACAUAAAAUACAUAGAAGAGUCGUUUCUUUUUAGGGAAAAUCAUCUAACCAUACACCAACUACAAAAAAAUAUGAGAUUUUGGAACUUUACUUUUUUCUUUUUAAUUUUAGUGUAAAAUGGGAAAAAAUAUUGUUUAUUCAUGCAUUCCAAUAGUGUUUUCAAAUUUGUUCCACAAUUACUCUCAAAAGUAAAGGACAAAGUACAUACCAAUUUAAUACCACUUGUUAACAAGUACAUGAGUCAUUUAUUUUUAUUAUUUUUCUCACAUCAAGAUAUCUCCCUUACUACUUGUCACGUUUUCACUUUUUUCUUUUUUUUUCUUUUUUCUUUUUUUUUCCUCUCUUGCCACCAUAAUCCAUUGUCACCUAUUAUAGUUUUUAUUAUUAUUUUUCUUUUUUUCCUUUAUAUUCUUUUUAAUAUGCUCGCGCAUUUUCUCAUAAAACUUCUUUAAUUUUAAUUUAUUUUUACUCUCUAAUUUGUCUAUAUUUAUUGAUUUUAAUUAUUUUUUUGACAUAUUAAACUUAAAAUGAUAACAUAUAAUAAAUAAUUAAUAUAACAAAUUAAAUAAAAACAAAAUCUAUAAUGGACAAAAAUGAAAAUAUCAUCCCACAAAUAAUAAUGAUUUUAAAUAUUAAUUAUAAUAAUACAUUUUAUAAAUUAAGGUUUAAAUUUAAAAUUUACAUUUUAUUAUUUAGAAGUUUAUGAUAUAAGAUUUUUUAUAUUAAUACUAAACAAAAGAUUUAUUUAUUUUGUAAAUUCUAUCACAUGUAAAAGUAAAAAUAUCAUUGUAAUGUGUUGGGCUUUGUGGAGCCUAGUUUUGUUUGAUCCGAUUUGACGACCCAACCCGAAUAAUAUUGCAUGGCUUUUUUAAUGGGAGAUUUAUUGAGGCCUGUUGGGCCCGUUUAGCCCAUUGUGGAACCACCUUUUGUAAUUAGGGUUUUUUAGUAUGGUAGGGUUGCCGUGCUAUAUAUAUAGAGAGAAUAUUGUAGCCGCCAGGUUGUACUCUGUAUUCUUUCCUGAUAAUAGUGAUAUCCCUGCAACUUCGUGGACGUAGGCAAAUUGCCGAACCACGUAAAUACUGUUUGUGUGUGAUUGUUUUUCUUUGGCGUGUGUUUUCUCUAAUUUUUUGUUUCUCACAGGUUGGGAAUUUUGUUUAAUUCCCUACAAUUGGUAUCAGAGCCUAGGGUUAGGUUUGAGUGGGAGCAAUGGCAGAGGAAGCAGGAAAGGAGUCUGGAAUAGAAAAGUUUGAUGGCACAGACUUUGCGUAUUGGAGGAUGCAGAUUGAAGAUUAUCUCUAUGGGAGGAAAUUGCAUCUGCCUCUUUUGGGGACAAAACCUGAGAGUAUGAAGGCUGAGGAAUGGGCGCUUCUUGACAGACAGGUUCUAGGAGUUAUUAGGUUAACUCUGUCUAGGUCUGUUGCACACAAUGUUGUAAAGGAGAAGACCACAGCAGAUCUGAUGAAGGCUUUGUCCGGUAUGUAUGAAAAGCCAUCCGCAAACAAUAAGGUGCAUCUGAUGAAGAAAUUGUUCAAUUUGAAGAUGGCAGAGAAUGCAUCAGUAGCACAACAUCUGAAUGAAUUUAAUACAAUCACAAAUCAAUUGUUGUCUGUAGAAAUUGAUUUUGAUGAUGAGAUUCGUGCUCUGAUCGUCUUGGCUUCUUUGCCAAACAGUUGGGAGGCAAUGAGGAUGGCAGUAAGCAAUUCUACGGGAAAGGAAAAGCUCAAGUACAAUGAUAUACGAGAUUUAAUUCUGACUGAGGAGAUUCGUCGAAGAGAUGCAGGUGAAACCUCAGGAUCUGGUUCUGCCCUAAACCUUGAGACAAGAGGUAGAGGUAAUAACAGAAAUUCAAAUCAAGGUAGAUCAAAUUCCAGAAAUUCUAAUCGGAACAGAAGCAAAUCUAGAUCAGGCCAAUAAGUACAAUGUUGGAAUUAUGGGAAAACAGGUCACUUUAAAAGGCAAUGCAAAAGCCCUAAGAAGAAGAAUGAAGAUGAUUCUGCUAAUGCUGUAACAGAAGAGGUACAUGAUGCAUUAAUUCUUGCAGUAGACAGUUCACUUGAUGAUUGGGUUUUGGAUUCAAGAGCUUCGUUUCAUACCACUCCACACCAAGAAAUCAUACAGAAUUAUGUUGCAGGUGAUUUUGGUAAGGUGUAUUUGGCUGAUGGUUCAGCCUUGGAUGUUGUGGGUCUGGGAGAUGUCCGGAUAUCGUUGCCCAAUGGGUCUGUUUGGUUACUGGAGAAGGUUCGACAUAUUCCUGACCUGAGGAGGAAUCUGAUUUCUGUUGGACAACUUGAUGAUGAAGGACAUGCAAUACUAUUUGUUGGUGGUACUUGGAAGGUUACAAAUGGAGCUAGGGUAUUGGCUCGUGGAAAGAAGACUGGCACUCUGUAUAUGACCUCAUGUCCAAGAGACACAAUUGCAGUUGCUGAUGCAAGUACUGAUACAAGCCUAUGACAUCGCAGACUUGGUCACAUGAGUGAGAAAGGGAUGAAGAUGUUGCUGUCAAAAGGAAAACUACCAGAAUUGAAGUCCAUUGAUUUUGACAUGUGUGAAAGUUGCAUCUUAGGAAAGCAAAAAAAGGUGAGCUUCUUGAAAACUGGCAGGACACCGAAGGCUGAAAAAUUGGAACUAGUACACACUGAUUUGUGGGAGCCUUCUCCGGUUGCAUCCCUAGGAGGUUCAAGGUACUACAUCACCUUUAUUGAUGACUCAAGUAGAAAGGUAUGGGUUUAUUUUCUGAAAAAUAAAUCUAAUGUAUUUGUAACUUUUAAGAAGUGGAAGGUCAUGGUUGAGACAGAAACAGGUUUGAAAGUAAAAUGUUUGAGGUCAGAUAAUGGAGGAGAGUACAUAGAUGGAGGAUUCAGUGAGUAUUGUGCUGCACAGGGAAUUAGGAUGGAGAAGACCAUUCCUGGGACACCAUAGCAGAAUGGUGUGGCUGAGCGCAUGAAUAGAACUCUCAAUGAGCGUGCUAGAAGUAUGAGGUUGCAUGCUAGACUACCAAAAACUUUUUGGGCUGAUGCUGUUAGCACUGCAGCUUACCUGAUAAACCGAGGACCAUCAGUUCCCAUGGAGUUCAGACUUCCUGAGGAGGUUUGGAGCAGUAAAGAGGUGAAGUUUUCACAUUUAAAAGUUUUUGGUUGUAUUUCUUAUGUUCAUAUUGAUUCUGAUGCUCGUAGUAAACUUGAUGCAAAGUCAAAAAUAUGUUUUUUCAUUGGCUAUGGUGAUGAGAAAUUUGGCUAUAGGUUUUGGGAUGAACAAAACAGGAAAAUCAUCAGAAAUAGAAAUGUGAUAUUUAAUGAACAGGUUAUGUACAAAGACAGGUCAUCUGUAGUGUCAGAUGUUACAGAGAUAGAUCAAAAGAAAUCUGAGUUUGUCAACUUAGAUGAAUUGACUGAAAGUACUGUCCAAAAAGGGGGUGAAGAAGAUAAGGAGAAUGUAAAUUCACAGGUAGAUCUGAGUACACCUGUAGUUGAAGUUCGCAGAUCUUCUAGGAACAUUAGACCUCCGCAGCGUUAUUCACCUGUUUUAAAUUAUCUCCUGUUGACUGAUGGUGGUGAGCCAGAGUGUUAUGAUGAAGCCUUGCAAGAUGAGAAUUCAAGCAAGUGGGAGUUAGCCAUGAAGGAUGAGAUGGAUUCCCUAUUGGGGAAUCAGACAUGGGAACUAACUGAAUUGCCAGUAGGAAAGAAGGCUUUGCACAACAAAUGGGUAUACAGAAUAAAGAAUGAGCAUGAUGGUAGCAAACGUUACAAGGCCAGAUUAGUUGUUAAAGGGUUCCAGCAGAAGGAGGGCAUUGACUACACAGAGAUAUUUUCUCCAGUUGUGAAGAUGUCAACAAUUAGACUUGUACUUGGAAUGGUGGCUGCAGAAAACUUACAUCUUGAGCAGUUAGAUGUGAAGACAACAUUCCUUCAUGGUGACUUGGAGGAAGACCUUUACAUGAUUCAACCAGAAGGGUUCAUUGUUCAGGGACAAGAGAAUCUAGUCUGCAAACUGAGAAAGAGCUUGUAUGGCCUUAAACAAGCUCCUAGACAGUGGUACAAGAAGUUUGACAAUUUUAUGCAUAGAAUUGGGUUCAAGAGAUGUGAAGCUGAUCACUGUUGCUAUUUUAAGUCCUUUGACAAUUCUUAUAUCAUAUUACUAUUGUAUGGCAAACCUGUAAGGCUCAUUUUUUAGUGUCCAAUACUGCUCCUGAUCUUUCCUAGAUGUUACUUGCAAUGAAUUCAGUUUUCAGAAAGACUAAUUGUGCAUCUUAAUAUGUAAAGCUUAUCUUCUAGCUCGGUUAUAUCUAAAAGAAGAAAAUACCAAAAGCUACAAAGCUAGAUUUGCACUCACUUCUUGGAGGAAGUCUGUCACACCCUUUCUUUGAGGACAUUUGAAGCCCAUUGACUAAAAAAAUUCAAGCACAUUUUCACGAGGUCCUUGAUAAACAAUCUGACUAUCAGAGAGGAGAAUGAUGUCAUCAAAAAGAUCAUAAGUCUCAAGUGGUGGCUGGAGGAGAGAGAUGACAGCAGUCCCAUUGAGAAUGUGGAUGGUUUGCCUGAGAGAAUUCACAAUUUGAUAAGUUGUUGAGCUGUCCAAGCCAGUAGAGAUCUCGUCCAUGAAUAGCGCCUUUGAUGGACCGACCAGCAUCUCACCUAUCAUUCAAACAUUUCUCAUAAUUCAAUUAAAUUAAAUCAAUGAACCAUACAUAUAAAUACAUAUGUAGUUUUUUUCUUCUUCUUUCGGUUAGAAACCAAAUUAUUCAACCUGUUGUGACACGCUUCCUUUGUCCUCCAGAGAUACCUCUUAUCAUUUCAUCUCCUACCAUGAUAUCAGCACAGAUAUCUAAUCCCAGAAUCUGUGGAUAGAAGCAGGUAUAAAGACAAAUAAACAAAGUAUGAGCUAGUAUUGGCUUUUCUUAGAAAUCCGCAUGUCAUCAUUGAAAGUCAUAUGGUUAUAGUACCUUCAUUAUAUGAUCAGUGACCACACUUUUCUUCUGGCCUUCAGUUGUUGCUGCUUGAAAUAUUAGAAACCAGUAAUGACAAUAUUAGAAACCAAUUCUGUUCAGUACAUUAAGAAAUUCCAUGGAUAAAAGAUUUUGCAGUAGAGCAAAAUUCAGGAAUAAGAUCGACUCAAGCCAUUCAAAAGAGUACAAAAAGAAGGGAACAAACUCCAUAAUAGACACAACAUCAAGAAUACAAAGCCAAUUUGCCUAUUUAUGUCAAGAUAUCAAAAUUUUCAUUCUAGGGAAUACAAACAUCCAUGUUCUCCACUAAGAGCAAAUAGAUCAAAUUCCGAAGAACUAGUUAAAAUUUUACUGAAAGUAGCUUCUGUCUCACCUUCAUGAAGACAUCGAUAUCAGGAUCAGGCUUAAUGUUUGCUGCUUUCUCUCUUCUUGCGAGCUCUGCUAACAUUUCUGCAGAUAGCCAAAAUAAGAGUCAAUCUCCUAGCCUAUACAAAUGAGAUAUAACUGCAUUGGCAACCUUCAAAAACAGAGAAAAUAAAAGGCAAAGGCAAUGGCUUCGACUAACCAAAUCAAUCUCCAACACCCUGACAUCUUGCAGAGAAGGCCAAGGUUUCUCGUAUAGUCAUUUCUCCAAGAUGGGUAUCAUGUUAACUGAUAUACGCAGCAGUUCUCUGUUGUACAAACUCAUUCAUGCCAUGACCAUUGUGUCACCCUUCCAGUAACCUAAAGAAGAAAUUCCAGUUUUCAAAUUAGACAUGAGAUAAAACAGCUAAAAUUUGAAUAGUCAUGAUUAUUUUUUUCAUUCAACCUUCAGACUAGGAUCAAGCUUUCCGGACAACGCCAAUAAGAAAGUGGUCUUUCCAGAACUUGGAGGACCCAAAAGUAACGUCAAUCUGCAGAAAAAAAAAUGCACAACAAUUGAAUAUAGAUCUUUGAGUAUAUUCUAAAUUCAAAGGAACUAUUCGUCUGUUUUAUUAAGUAAUCCAUUUUUACACUCGAAACAAAUUCAUACUCUCACCUGCCAGGUUUGAUGAUUCCGCUAACAUCUCGAAGAAUAGUGAAUUUUCUCUUUCUAGUUGGAAGAAUCCGAAGACCAUGCAAGAUAUUCUUUAAAACAGAAGGAAAAUUAUAAACUAUAAGUAUACGUAUCGAAAAGAGUAUUUAUUGCAUAGCUAAUGAUCUGCAUUUGCAUUGUAGUUACCUCAACUUGAUUAAAAAUGAAAUUAAAGAAUGAAGGAAAAGCUCUGCUGCCUACAUAAGCUUCUCCAUCAAUAGUAAGAUGCUCAUAUCUAACUUCAAUUUCGGGAAGUUCAAUCCCAACUCUGAAAAAGUGGAAGAGACAUGAAAACUCAUCAUUAAAAAGUUAAAGAAAGUUGUUUGGUUGGGGAGAAAAUGUAGGAAACACCUAUUGAUUACUACUCAAAAAGUGCUAUUUGAUAGCCUAUAAUUAAUCCUUUUUAACACUUUUGAGUAGUAGUUUAAGCCUUUUAACUCAAUUGGCAUGUUAAGGAUCCUUUAAAGCAAUUUUGAUCACUUUGUGUAAGUUUUGGUGUUUUUGUUAGUAUUUUGAUCACCAAAGCAAGUCAAGACUGAGGAGAGCUAUGAGGAAUCUUGGGCAAAGCUUAGAAUUCAAUUGCCAAGAGUGAAUCCGGAUUGCAAGGAGAAAAAGCAAAGAGAAUCUACCAUGAAGCCUAUUCUUGAUGACAGUCGUAGCAGCCACUUUUGGAGCACUUUCUGAAGUCCAAAUGAUGCAUGCUAUAUACCAUUUCAAAGCUCAGGAAGUCAACAAUCCAAUGCUUCAAACGGUGCACGAUUCGGAGUUGAAACGAAGAAGUUGCAGCCAUUGCAAGUCAAUCACUCUAAAGUGUUGCGGAAUCAGCCUUUUGUUGCGAGAAUUUCGCAGUACUUUUGUACAGAAAGGUGUUUCUCCUUCUGACAAUUCAGGAACCAUGCCGCGAGAAGGGAGCUGGGAACCUCAAGGUGGAAGCCAACUUCGCAGCCUAGUGAAGAUAGCUCGGUGUUGCGAAAUAAUUUCGCAGCCCUCUUGGGUGUCUGCGAAAUUUCGCAGACUUCAUUUUUCACCUGCGAAAUGGCUCCUGAAGCCUCCCGAAACUUGCUACCGACAUUGGGAGAUAUUUUCCAUUAGAUUUUUGUUGUCUAAAUCCCAAAAUACUCCUUGUAAACCACCAAUUACAUGAUUCCUUAGUUUUUAAGUUAGUAAAAAGACUAAAUAUCUUUGUAACAAUUAGUUUUAUAUUGUUUUGAUAUAUAUACCUCUCGGGAGCCUGUUCUCGGAGAGGAGUUCCUUCUGUAACCGUUUGGGUAAGCAAGUAAAGGUCUUUUCUUUCUACUGUCUUACCUUCUCACUUUGUAUUUUCAUUUUAUUUCUAAGUUAUGAAUUCUCUGAGGAGUUUUCCCCAGAGAAUGAGUAACUAAACCUCCAAUUCCUUGGAGCUAAGGUUGCCGGGGAAGGUUCCAAGUGCAAGAAUGCAAAGCUCUGUGGUUUUAGCUAGUAAUGAAGAGGAAGUGAAAUCCUUUAGUGAUUUCAAUGUUUUUAGUUAACUUAAAACACCUUAGAGUCACCUGGGCCAACACUUGGUAAGGCAAGUGAUUUCCAACCAUGGAAAUGCACUAGUUUACCCCUUGCGAGCCUCUGGGAGGUGACUUCAGGGUAGGAUUUUCUAGAAUAGCCAACACUUGGUAAGCUUUUGGACUCUUAGGAGACAUCCAUUAGUUACCUCUUGCGAGCUUUUGACGGGUAAUCCAAGGUUAAAGAUCACCUUGAAUGGUAAGUGCUCGUGAGAGGCAUGAACCAUUGCAAGUUGCAUCAGUGAGAGAAUUAAAGUGAAAUCUAAUUGAAGGAGUCUCUGUACAUCACCGGUUAGAGAAUUGACUCUAAGUUGAAUCUCUAAUGCGAGGAAAUGAACCAUUUGACCAGAGCCGUGUCUUUUGCAUGAGGAACCACCCCGGUGAACCUAAAUCUCCAAGGAAUGUUUUUCUUCCUAAAUUAUUCCAAACUUCUGUUAAGUUAGUUAGUUUAAGUCUCAACCUUUACCAAUCAAAGUUUGUGUUUUAUUUCUUAAGCUAACCGUGAAAUGAAACAAGACCAAUUCACUUGGAAUUGGUAUCCUUGAUUGCUUGUUAGUCAUUCCCAGUGAACGAUCCUAGAGCCACUAUACUAUAGUAGCUUUUUAUUUGCUACCCUAGUGUAUGGUGUUAUAGGUAUAAAUUUUGUUGAUCACUUCCUCAAUCAAGGAGCACCAGCUGAACACAAAUCAGCUGAGACACCAAUUGGGCAUGAAUCACCUAUCAGGCAAACUCACCCAUCCAUACGAUUCUUGAGCUUCAACAAGAACUUCUCAUUGUCCUCUUCAGCAAUUUUUAUCAACCGCUCCACUAAAUUCUUCUUGUCCUGAAGCCCAAGGCUAUGUAUAUCAACUUCAAUGGCCUCACCCUCUGAUCCCAGCAGCAAGCCUUUCCUCAACCGAUUGUAGGUGGGGAGUUUCUCGAGUGCGGCCCAUUUCAAAGCUUCCUCAUCAUCUUCACCCCUCGUAGAUUGGGAGAAAAUCUCGACGUCAGGGGUCCUCCAUCUCAUAGAACCAGCUCUACGAGUUUCAGGAGUCGACAUUGCAAACAGAAAGGAAGAACUCUCCUGCAAAACCAAUAAGAACCCGCCAAAACCCGAACUGUUGAAAUUAUAAUGCGAGGUAAAGUCAAACUAAAAGAAUUUUAGGAAUUUGAUAAAUAUUAAAAAUUAUUAUUUAUUUAGAUUUAUAUGUUAAUUAAGACUUUUGGUAUAAUAGCAAUUGGAGUCUAGAAUAUAAACUCCUUUUUCUCGCUCUUAGUACAAUGUUAUGUCUUGUUGUAUUGCUGCUACUGCAUUGUAAAAAUCAUAUAGAAUGGAAGGUUUAUAUAGUGAUUGGUAGGACAGAAAAUGAAGUGGUUCAAAAGAUUUGAAACUGGUUUAUUUUCUUGUGAUUCUUUAAGUUAUGUUUGGUUUCUAAAAAAGUACUAAGGAAAGAAAAAAAAUGUUAAAAAAAAAAAUGGUUUUCUCAUGUUUAGUUUCAUAAUGAAAAAAUACAAAAGAAAAUAAAAUAUAAUUAAAAUUUGUUAAAAUUUUAUAUAUUUUUAAAUUAUUUAAUCUUUAUAUAAUAGACGAAAAUAAGUAAAAUAACUUUGAAGAAAUAUAUUAAGGUUAUGUUUGGUUCUCGGAAAGUACCAAGGAAAGAAAAAAAAAUGUAACAGAAAAUGGUUUUCUCAUGUUUGGUUUCAAUAUAAUUUUUUAAAAAAAAUUAAAUAUAAUUAAAAUUAGUUAAAAAUUUAUAUAUUUUAAAAUUAUUUAAUUUUUAUAUAAUGAAUGAAAUGAAGUGAAAUGAGUUUGAUGAAACAUAUAAAAAUAAUUUAUUAAUUUAAAAUUUUUUUUUUUCAUUUUUUCUUUCCUUCUACUUUUCCUCUUUAUUUAUUUCUCUCACAUUUUCUCUCAAAUUUUAUGAAAACCAAACAAAGCCUAAAGUAAUUUAUUAAAUUUAAAUCUAUUUUAAUUUUCUUCAUAUUUUUCUUUCUUUCUACUUUUCCUCUUUAAUUUUUUUCCUUCACAUUUUUUUCUCAUAUUUUCCAGGAACCAAACAUAGCCUAGAAAAUUGGUGAGGGAAAUCGACUAUAAAAAAGUUUGCACAACGACUCCAUAAUAAUGUACACAUGCCACCAUUUUUUUUUCCCUUCAACUUCCUAUAUUAAGACUUUCACGGUUCAUAAUUUUUGGUUUCUUACACUUUCUUUAGCAAGUAAAUAGAAAUGUGAAUGAUCGAAUGUUUUGUUAGUUUUUAAAAUAAGAAGAAAUAUAAUACUUAAUUUUAUACAUGUUUUCCGGCAUGUUUGGUAUGUGAGAUAUGAUAGGAUAGAGUAUCUAUAUUCUAUAAUAUCAAAUUCCAUUAAAUGAAAAAUGCAUAUUUUAAAAUAUAAUUUUCAAUGAGAUAUGAUAUAUUUUUUAUAUUAAAUUCAAUCGAUAUGAUAUUGUAAGAUGACAUAUCCAAUGCAUUUCCUAAAAUAAAUUAUUUCCAUAUAUUUUUUAAGAUUAUUAAAUCCAAUGGAUAUAAUAUUAUAAGGUAACAUAUAUAAUGAGAUAGGUAAUGUAACAUUAUGCUUAUAUUUAAUUUGUAAAAUUAAUAAAAAAUAAAAUGGAAUAUAUAUUAUUUUAUAAUAUAUUUUGUAAAUGUUUUUUUAGUUCUUCUAUUUUAACCAUAAAUUUAACUUUAUAAUAAAAAAAUUAUUUUACUAAAUAAGUGAUAAAAUAAAAUAAAAAAUAAUAAAAGAAAAUUAAAUUUAUGAUACAUAAAAUAAUAUAUCUCACUACUUAUCCUAGAAGGAAUAUAAAAAAGCUAUAGAUAAUAUAUUUCACUACUUAUUCUACCAUGUGUUACAUCCAUCCAACCAAACCAUGACCUUACGGAUAUAAAAAAAUUUAACGUUUAAUAGCAUCCACAUUAAUGAAAACAAACAAUUUACUAAUAUAAACUAAACAAUCAAACACUCAAAUGAUAUUUCGCUCUAUUUAGACUAAUGAAAAAUAAACAAUUUAAAUAUUUAAUAACAUUCCACUUUAUUAAGCUUUAAGCUUAGAAUCUUAAAAAAAAAAAAAAAAAAAUACUUUAAAAAUAUUUUUUAGAGUUGUUUCAAAGGAAUGGGAUUAUUUGUUUUUUUUUUCUCAUUUAUGUCAUAAAGCAAAUUAUUUUAAAACUUAAAAUCAAAAUAUAAAAAUUUAUUUUUUAUAUUAAGAUAAAAUUGUCUUAUAAAAAGUAACAAGUUAAAAAACAAAUAAUUUUUAAAAUGACUUAAGUCUUAACACUAUUAAGUAUUAUUUAGAUGUAAGGUUUAUUUAAUUUUAUUUUUUUUUCAAAAAAGCACCACCUUUCAAAUAAGAUUUAAGCAGGUUUAACCUAUUCAAAAUUGCUUGAAAUUUAAGAGGUUAUUUGUUUUUUAAAGUUAAAUCUUAAAGCUAGUUGCUUUAAAAUUUAAGAUAAAAGUAAAUAAAAUAAAAUGAAAACUUUUGUUAUUAAGACAAAAUUUUCUUUUAAAAAUGAUAAACUAAAAAAAUAAUUUGAAAAAUGACUUCCAUCUUAAAGCAACUCUUUUUAUUAGGAUUGUAUCUCUAUCCUAAUUAAAAUUAACAAUCAACUUGAUUUUGAGUAAGAUUAUAUCAAUGUUAACCAACAUUAUUUUCUAAUAAAAGUAUUUGCGAAAACAUAAACACAUUUAUGCUUCAAUAAAUGGAAUACAUUUUUUUAGUAAUAUAACCAUAUUUUAAUUUUGAAAAAAAACAUAUUAGUCUAAUCAUCAAUAUUCAUAAUUGAUAAUAUCAUACAUUAAAAAUUAUUAAUGGUGAAUAACUGAUAUAUAUAUGGAUUAUUAAAGCAACUAUGACCAUACAACCUAUGGAACUUGGUGUAAACUUUUUUGUGGACCUGUAUUUUCUUUGCUUAUUAAAAAAUAAAUUAUUAAAGCAAUAAUGAGCAUAGAAAUUAAUUAAAACAAUAACUAUCACUCAAAUGAAGUAUUAGGCUCUAUUGAUAAUUGUUUUUAAAAACAAUUUUUAGUCUCCAGAAUAAAAAUUAAAAAUUAAAAAUUAAAAAAUAAAAAAACAAGAAAACAAGUUUGAUAAUAGAAAACAAAAACAUUGUAUUUUCAAUUCUUUAAUUGUUUUCACUUUUUUUAAAGGAUUAUUUUUAAAAAAGUCAUACAAAUACGAAGAAUGAUUAAAAAUAAAACACUGUAUAUAAAAAUUAUUUUUAAAAUAUAAGAAACAAGUUAAAAAUAUUUUAGAUUUUUAAAUAGGCUUUUGUUUUAUAAAAAAUCAAACAACAAUUUUCAAAAAUUAUUUUUAAAAAUUGUUUUCAAAAAAACACUUUUCAAAUAGAACCCUAUCCUACCAACUAUAUAUAUACACACACACAAUGCUAAUGAUAUUUAAAAGAAAAACAGUCACAUGAAAAAGGUAAUAAUAUUAGAGACUACAGAAGAACUUACUAUCAGAAAAACAUUGUCAAUAAUACAUGGGAUGAGAAUGAUUUCAUACAGCUACUGAGAUUGUCCUCAAAGUUGUUCUUAAAAAACAAAAAUACUAUAAAUGGUUGGAUCCAACCUUUCAAGGAAACCAAAGCCCUGUUCUUUUUUUCUUUUUUUGAUAAAGAGAUUUUCAUUUUUUUCCUUCUAAAAGGAACAUUCUAUAUAUAGAAUCUAAAGGUAUCAAACUGUGCCUCCAAGUAGUUUGACUGUAAAGUACAAUUCAAUCCAAUGUGUUGAUUGUUCUUUUGGUUUGCUAAUUGAUCAGGCAAUCAAUCUUUCCUCAUGUGGUUUCCAUAUUAUCAUUUUUUCAUCUUUUUCCACAUCAUUUUUAUCCUUUUCCAUAAAUAAAAAAAAUAUUUAGAUAAAUUAUUUCAUUAGCAAUUUGUUGAAGACUUGAAAAUAAAUUAAAUAAGAGAAAUAUUCACAAAUUUUUUACUUAAUUAUUCAUGAUGACAUUAAUAAUGAGAGUAACGUAUAACCAAAUAAGACUAAGAUAGGAAAAAAUGAGACAAAAGAAUUUGUCUCUAAAAGGUAUGAAAAAAUGAGAAUCAAAUAUGAAUUAAGGAGAUAUAGGUAUAAACUUAAUAAGAAAAAUGUUAAUUAUGCUUAAAUCUAUGAAUUUAAGAAAAUCUAAAAUUUUGGCCAUAAUUAUUCAUGAUCACAUCAAAUUUAUAUAUAGGAAUGGUUGAAAAUAAUGAGAGCAAUGCAUAACCAAAUGGUACUAAGAUGGGAAAUAAUGAGACCAAAGAAUUUGUCUUUAAAAGGUAUGAAAAAAUGAGAUUCAAAUACCAAUUAACUAGAUAUAGGUAUAAACUUAAUAGAAGAAAUAUUAAAUACGCUUAAGGUUAUGUUUGGUUUCAAGAAAAUAUUAAGAAAAUAAAAAAAAUAAAGGAAAAUGAUUUUCUCAUAUUUGAUUGUCUUAUGAAAAAUAUAAAAGAAGGUCAAGUAUAAUUAAAAUUAAUUAGAAACUUACGUAUUUUUAAAUUAUUUAAUCUUUAUAUCAAUUAAUUAAAUUAAACAAAAUGAGUUUGAAGUAAUAAAUAAAAAUAAUUUAUCAAAUUUUAAUCUAUUUUUUAUUUUUCUUUACAUUUUCCCACAAAUUUUCGUGGAACCAAACAUAGCAUAAAUGUAUGAAUUUAGGAAAAUCUAAAAUUUUGGCCAUAAUUUUUCAUAAUUACAUCAAAUAUAUAUAGGAAUGGUUGAAAAUAAUGAGAGCAAUGUGUAACCAAAUGAUAUUAAGAAAAUAAUGAAACCAAAGAAUUUGUCUCUAAAAGGUACGGAAAAUGAGAGUCAAAUAUGAAUUAAUGAGAUACAAGUAUAAAUUUAAUAAGAGAAAUACUAAUAAUGCUUAAAUAUGUGAAUUUAAGAAAUUCUAAAAUUUUGACCAUAAUUAUUCUCACAUCAAAUAUAUAUAUAUAUAUAUAUAUAUAUGAAUGGUUGUAAAUAAUGAAAUCAAUGUGUAACCAAAUGGGACUAAGAAAAAUAAUGAAACCAAAAAAUUUGUCUCUAAACAGUACCAAGAAAUGAGAAUCAAAUAUGAAUUAAUCAAAUAUAGGUAAAUUUAGUUAGAGAAAUAUUAACAAUGCUUAAAGAUAUGAAUUUAAAAAAAUCUAAAAUUUUAACCAUAAUUAUUCAUGAUUACAUUAAAUAUAUAUAGGAAGGGUUCAAAAUAAUGAGAGCAAUGUAUAAGCAAACGGGACUAAGAAAAUAAUGAAACCAAAAAAUUUGUCUCUAAAAGGUAUGAAAAAAUGAGAGUAAAAUAUGAAUUAAUGAAAUAUAGGGAUAAAUUUAACAAGAGAAAUAUUAAUAAUGCUUAAAUAUAUGAAUUUAAGAAAAUCUAAAAUUUUUAUAAUAAUUAUUCAUAAUCACAUCAAAUAUAUAUAGUGAUGGGUGAAAAUAAUGAGAUCAAUGUAUAACUAAUAGAGACUAAGAUAGAAAAUAAUAAAACUAAAAAAAUUCUCUAAAAUGUAUGAAAAAAUGAGAGUUAAAUAUGAAUUAACAUAUAUAUAAAUUUAAUUAGAAAAAUAUUGACAAUCUUAAGUAUAUGAAUUUAAGAAAAUCUAAAAUUUUGGCCAUAAUUAUUCAUGAUCACAUCAAAAAUAUAUAGGAACAAUUGAAAAUAAUGAAAGGUAUAAUCAAAUGAGACUAAGAUAGAAAAUAAUGAAACCAAAGAAUUUGUCUUUAAAAGUUACAAAAGAAAUUAAAAAAAAAAAAUCAGAGUCAAAUGUGAAUUAAUGAGAUGUUGGUAUAAAUUUAAUAAGAGAAAUAUUAAUAAUGCUUAAGCAUAUGAAUUUAAGAAAAUCUAAAAUUUUGGUCAUAAUUAUUCAUUAUCACAUCAAAAUAGGACGCUUGAAAAUAAUGAGAGCAAGGUAUAAUAAUACGAGACUAUGAUUAUCAAACUACUUCAAAAUCAAAAUCCUUAAUAGAAUCAAAUCAUCAAGAUGAUGUUAAUUAGUCUUUUUCAAAACAUUGAAGAAAAUCUAAGCCAAAGUUCCAAUGACCAAGAAAUAUGCAUAAAAGAUAGUUGCCCGCCAAAGACCUUAAAUGUAAUCACUAAGGAAUAAGAAUUAAUUUUAGAAUUAUUUAUUAAGGUUCAAGAUUCUUCAAUAAAAACAUAAUUAUGUGAAAUUUGUAAGAAAUCGAUUUCUAAACUAGAAAUGAAAAAAAAAAACUAUAAAACCUUAUAACUUCUAUGAAAUCUUGACAAGAUUUAACUAUAAUUCCCUAAAAAAGUGAUUAUUAAAGAUCUUCAAAAGGAAAUAAGAUGAUGUUAGAAGUUAGAGAAUUAAGACAAUACACCAACAUAUGUUUAACAAACCUUCAAGAACAAAUUAAUUAGAUAGUAAGUAAUAAGAAUUAAUAUAUCCUAAAAUCCUUAUAAGUUAAUGAAGAUUUAUCACACUUAUAUCUCAAUGUUAUAAAUAGGGUCAUCUUUAAAAAAUGCAGUGUUUCCCUAACAAUUGUGAUUAACAAUGAGUUCAUCGCUAAGAUUAAUUGUUGUCUUAAUAGAUUCAAGAGUAGCUUCUUUAUGGCAUGCUAAUAGGUCAAACUUAAGAUUAGCUACAAAUUGUCUAAGGCUCAUGUCAAUAAUCAAGGGAUGCACACAACAUUUAAUUUGGUAUAAGAUUUAAGAGAAGAAAUAUUCUUGGAAUACCCUAUUUAGUUGUCUACCCUAUCACUAGAGUAGAUGGUCAAGGUAUAAGACUAAACUCUUAAAUCAAGAGACUCCUUUUGAAUUUGCAUAUCCUCUAAAAAGAAACCUAAAUAAAUUAAGAUCUUUGAUUAUUUCUAUAAAAAAAAUACAUUUUUUUUAGUUCAAGAAGUUAGAUCUAAGAGAAUUGAAGAACAAUUGGAAGUUAAAAAGACUCAAGAUGCUAUCCAAUAAUUCAAAGAAAAGUUGGUUAGAGAAGCCCAUCCUAAAUUCCCUAAUGUAUUUUGGCAUAGGGAUGAACAUGUUAUAGAACUACCUUACAACCUAGAAUUUAGGGAAAAUAAUAUUCCCACUAAGGCAAGACCAAUUCAAAUUAUUCAAAAACCAUUGAGAUAUUAUGAAAAGGAAAUUUAAGAACUCUUUGAUAAAAAAUUAAUAAAGAAUCUAAAUCUCCUUGAAGUUGUGUAUGCGCAAAUUUCAUGAAGUCUUGCAAAACAACCAAAAACUAUAGGAAAAAUAUAUGUGAUCAAAACUUUAUAUUAAAAUUAAUUGAUUGUGCGGUAUAGACUCAAAUAUAAUAUUCUUUACAAAAGAAUAUUUUCCAUUUGAUUCAUUCACUUUGAUUACAAUCCCAAAGAUGAUGACAAGAGUCUUUUCUUGAUUUUAGAAAAUCAAUCCAAGGCCUAGAGUGGUUUUUUCUUGAAUGAACUUAUUAAAUGGUGAAAAACACGUAUAUGCUUUUAUUGUAUAAAAGUAUAAAACACUUUCACAUUUAAUUUUAAAAUAAUUAUAUAAUGUAAUUAAAAAUAAUAAUACAAAUUAAUUAAUAUAAUAAUUUCAAAAUAAUAAAAUACUAAAGACAUGCAAAUAAAAUUAAAUAUUAUAAUUUUAUUUUCAUUUUAUAUAUAUCCUUAUAUUUAAAUAUUAUAAAUGGUCUAUUUAAUCGAAUUUAAAAUAUUAAUAUAUUUAUAUUUCUCUUCAUCAUUUAAUUUGAUAUGUCAAAUAUAAAAAUGAAAUAUUAUUAAAAAUUUUAAUUAUAUAUAAUUUUAAUUUCUUAUAAUUAUUCAAAAUUUUAUAUAAUAUAUAAAUUAUUAUUUAUGAUGUCACCAAGUCGACCAAGGUCCGACCAGUGAACCAUGAAUUGGUAACUUUUUCGGUUCAAUCAUCAAUCCAAUUCUGAAAACAUUGAUCAUAUGACUUGAGAGUACAAAUAUUCAUGGCCCCACAAUUGAUUUUUUUUAUUAUUAUUUUAACCAUGAAAUGUGGGCCCCCAUGUUGUUCUUAAAUCUUAAAUAUCAAAUAAAAUGAUGAAAUAUUUUUAAAAUUUUAAUUAUUUAUAUAUAUUUUUUCACUUAUUAUAAUAAAUUUUAAUUUUCAACCGCAAUUCAACAACUGGUUCAACCAUUGAAUUAUGAAUCAAUAACUAUUUCGAUUCAACAACCAAUCCAAUUUUGAAAGCAUUGGUAAAUAUAGGCAUAAAACUAUUGGAAAUAACUCCCGACUUUCCAAGGAAGGCCUAAACUUCCCUUCUUGCUUCCUGAAUUCUAAAUUUAAUAGCAUUGUAAACGCUGCAGAUUAAAAACACAGGUCUAGUUUUUUAUAGUUUCUAAAUUUUCAUCCUAUUAUCAUGUCUUUAUGUCUUUGGUACUUAGAGCAGAGAUUGAAAGUGGAGGCCCAUACUGUUAAGUUGGUAACCAAGGAUGAAAGAAUAGCUCAAGGUUCUAUUACUGUCUGGAAUUUCAAAUUACAUAAAAUUGGGACGACAAAGAAAUUAAAGAAUUUAAUAUCCUAACAUCCUACGUACACAAAGAACAAAACCUUUUUUUCAUCUUACAAUCAAAUGUUGAACUGAAAGGUUACAUACAUAAAAUAACCAACCAUCCUUGAAGAACUUGUGCUCGGAAUGACUUCUUAUCGCCUUUGGAAGUUAAAUGCCUUAAUGGCGUAGGCAAAGAUGAAUAAGAACAGCACCACAAACCCAACAACCACAGCUGCAACCACUCCCAGGAAAUCAUGUUUGAAUCCAAAAUAAUCAUCCAAGAAUUGUUCCACCGUUUGAUUUUUGUCAAGUAGUGUGUCCUGUAUAUCUCCAAACUGUGAUGUAACCAAUCCAUACAAAGUCCAUGCAACUGGACAUAUCCAAUAGUACCAUCUCCACCACACCGGAAUUCUCUGUAUUCAUCAAGGAAGAAAUGCAACAAUAUGAGUCAUUUCUAUAUCCAUGUGGCAAGGAAAGUUGCAAUUUAAAGAAUCACAGGUUGAGAGCACUUACGUUUCGUGGGACUAUGAAACCUGAAAAGAGGUUCCAUAAUCCAUAAAAUGCCGCAGCAACGAUGGAAGCAAUAUGUUGAUUUGGCGUGGCAGCCACAGCCAUCAUGCCAUAGAAGGUGAAGUACAACAAAGUGAAGAACAUGAAGAACAGAUACCAGAAGAAUUUAGCGGCAGUCCAUUCAAAUCCAAUCAUUGCAUAAACUAUAACACCAUACACAACAGCUUGUGCAAAGACAUAUGGGAUCUCAACUAGAGCCUGCAACAAGAGAAGAAAUUUGAUUAUUAAAAUGCAAAACAUAUUAUACAUAUACAAAGUCUAUAGUGUAAGAAAACUAGUUACCUGUCCAAAGGCAUAUGGCAGGGCUGAAUACAUUCCUGCAGCUCUUUCUCUGUAAAAGACUGUUCGUUCAACUACAACAACUGGCUGGACCGAUUGGGCGUUCUGAACCCCAAGGAAGAGAACAGCAGCAUACAUAGAACCCAUUGCGUUUAACAGAUCUUGUUGCCUUGUCCUGCAAUUUACCACGUCAAGUAUAAAUUAAAGUUGAUAUAGAGAAACAUACUGAGUUCUCAAAUUUUUUAACCGACAUCAAAUUACCUUUCGGUGCCCAGAUCCCAGAACAUUGUCCCAAACAUCAAGGCUAUGAAAGUUGUGAAGAGAAAUCUCACUGCCGUGUAUGGUGGGUUGCGCCAGUAUGACCAACGUUGUUUCCAUAAGCAUGCCAAAAAUUGGGUGAAGAAGGGUUGGGAGUAUUGAGUAGCGAAAUAGAGGUCUUUUGUACCAGGGGCAGGUUGGCUCAGUUCUUUAAUUAAAUCUUUGUUUCUCCUGAAACAUAUGCCACUUGUUAGAACAGGUUUCAACUACAAAUUUAAGCUUUUCAUGAGAAACAUUAGGAUGGAUGUAUAUGACUUUUCAAUCUUAUAAUGCAAUUAGAUAACAUAUGGUUGAAUCACCUGUAUAGGUCUGAAUUCUUGUAUAUUUCAGUGAAAUCGACCCCCAAAGUUCCUUCUUGUGCUCCGGUGGUAACUUCCAGCAUCCAGGUUGCAGGGUUAUAACCAUCUUUGAUUUUACUGACUCCUUCAAUUCCCUUUAUGAAAGCAAGUGAUAUGUAUUAGUAAGUGCUUAAUAUGAAUUAACUCAAACUGAAGUAUUUACUUCUUAUAGCUUUUACUUUAUCAUGGCUGCUUACCUCAAAAUAAUUUAUUAGAUGGGAAGAAUGUCUACCCAGUGGUCCCACAUAUAUCUCUUGCCCUCCACGCUUCAUCAGGAGCAACUGCAAAUCCAUUUUAAAUAUUUCAGUACUUGUAUGCGAAGAGCAUAGAAGAGAAACUAUAAAUUCUUUCUAUCCCUUAACAUUUCCUACCUCAUCAAAGGCUUCAAAUAUGUCAAUACUUGGCUGAUGGAUGGUGCACACAACUGUCCUUCCUGUGUCCACAGUGUUUCUGACUGUUCUCAUAACAAUUGCAGCAGCUCUUGCAUCUAGCCCUGAAGUUGGCUCAUCCAUGAAUAUUAUUGAGGGAUUUGCCACAAGCUCAACUGCAAUAGUCAGCCUCUUGCGCUGCUCGGUUGAGAGACCAUUUACACCUGGCAACCCAACCAGUGCAUCCCUCAAUGGGGUCAGUUCCACAAGCUCCAUGACUUCCUCAAUGAACAUCUGUAACCAUUAGCAAUGAUUAUGAAUUGUUUAAAAAACGUUGCAAACCAUAGUAGAGAUGGUAAAAAAUUUGACACUGCUUGUGACUCCUGUUAGCAGGUUGUGAAGAGGUUUCCCUAGUCUUACUAAAUGGAUCGGUUAAUAGAUGCAAAUGCUCAAAAACACUCAUUAGCUUGCAUGAACUUCACCCAAUUGGAUUAAAAGUCAAUGAAACUUGAACCAGCACUUUUUCCCAGGUGAAGGUCAAUCCAAACUUGAACCUGACCUUACCUCAACCAAGUAUGAAAAGUCAAUUCUAGGGCUUUGCUUGUUUAGAGCACUAAAUUGAAC
RNAcentral lists this long non-coding RNA (47467 nucleotides) under Vitis vinifera (wine grape). RNAcentral describes it as "long non-coding RNA (VVIN_LNC002778)". The record is from RNAcentral. Lineage: Eukaryota; Viridiplantae; Streptophyta; Magnoliopsida; Vitales; Vitaceae.